CACGCGCUCCGCUUCCUCGUUUGAAAUCAGAAGACGGCAUGAUGGUGUGUGUGGACGCCUGGCGGGUAAGUGGAGACAUGUCUGUGUAAAUGUAUGUUUAAGUUAGCCGAUAGAGCCUUGGUGUCCACCCUUAGUUAUCUUAUCCUGCGGAGAAGAUAGAAGGAGAAGAGGAGCUGUUUAGAAGGUAUUUAGCGACGUUGUCCUGGAGGGUGAUGUUUGGCGGAUAUGCAAGUAUGUGUGUGAGUGUGUGUGUGAGUGUGUGUCGCUCCGUGCGCUGCCGGCCGCUCCGUCACAUUAACGUUAGCUGAAGGUUUUUCAUCAUAUGAGGUCAGGUUUUCUCGGUCAGGUGAAGUUAGGAAGGAACUGGUCGAAUGUUUAUGUCAGAUGUGGUGAGAAAGCAGUGGUAAUGUUGUAUAAUAUACUGAGUAUUCCAGUUUGUAAUAUAGGUCGGACAAAGGAUUGAUCUCAUUUUGGCUGUAAUUAAAAACAAGUCAGUGAGUUAGCACAUAUUUUGUCUUUUCAGUUCUGGUUAAAGCACCUGUGGAGAACUUUCAGUUUUGUUAAUUUUGGCGCCCCCUGUUGACUAAACAUAAUUUUUGUUCUACAAACUUAGAAUGACUUUUGACAAAUAAUAAACAAAAACAGUCAAAUGUAGGAUUUAUUGAAAAAUAUUAACUACCUUACAGGUUACAGGUAUUGAAAGUAUCAGUGUCAAAUCUUUUGUUUUGUCGCUGAUGGUCUUGCCUGCUUCUUAACAUGACUUUAAAAAAAGUCAAGAUGAGCUCAAAUAUAAUAAUAAUAAUAAUAAUAAUAAUAAUAAUAAUAAUGCUAAAUUUUAUUUUUAACAUACUUUUACAGGUACUCAAAGAUGUUUUACAAAAAAAAAAACAAUUUAAGAUACAGAUAAUUUUAAGUAAUAAGACCAACAGUGUAGAAGGUUAAAAAAGACACAAUAUGAAAAGACAAUAAAAGAACAGUUCACUGGUUAAAAGCCAAUUUAAAAGGUGUGUUUUUAGAAGCGAUUUGAAAGUAUGGGGGUCUUUACAGUCUCAGAUGGGUUUGGGGAGAUAUUCCAGAGGGUGGGGGCGGCAGCGGAGAAAGCUCUUUCUCCCUCAAGUUAGGUGCUUGGUCCGAGGGGGUAGGGCAAGGAGAUUUCCCUCUGAGGAUCGGAGGGCACGGCAGGGGAUGUAGUGGUGGAGCAGGUCUGUGAGGUAGGUGGGGGCCAGGUUGUUAAGUGAUUUGUGGGUGAGCAGGAGGAAUUUUGAAUUGUAUGUGGUGUGAGAUGGGGAGCCAGUGCAGUUUUUGGAGGACAGGGGUGAUGUGUUUGGGUGCGGGUGAGCAGGUGGGCAGCAGAGUUCUGAAUGAAUUAUGUCAGAGAUGUUGAGUUCGUUUAUGAUGCAUGUAACACAAAGCUACAUAAGUCCAAAAAGCAUUUAGGCCUCCCCCUCUUAAAGGGAAACGAAUGGAAGAUGUCGCGCAUAGUUAGAUACACAAUUUUCACCCCCAUGGGGUAUUGGGUGAAAAACAUCCAAGUCUGGAACUCCCAGUGCUUUUUAGAUCUGAAGGAUGGGUUGUACCUCAGCAUGACAGAAGUUCUGUCCAGUCUGAUAGGUUUGUGACUUGGAUGGACCAAGAGAGCAAAGGUCUCUCACCCUCUUAGCAGAAGUUGAGGAAAUCAGUCAGCAUGUCUUAAUAGACAGCAUCUUGAGAGUGUUUCCAUUGAUGGGUUGAAAAGAUCUGGUGCCUAUUGGGUGCUUUCGGGAUCACUGCACAGGGAGGCAAAAUAUAAUGCAGACAUUUUUCAUCCUCUAACAAGAAAUCAUGAAGGACAAUCAUGAAGCCACUUAACAACAGUUUUAUUACAAUGCCCCUGGUUACAGACUAAAAGUGUGGUAUAACAAUGCCUGUCUGACUACGUGUCAGGACGUAUUUGAAUAUAGUUGAUAGCACUGUUACACCGACAUCUCAUGGGGCUUUUGCAUUAUUAACUCAGAGAAAACGUAACCAACAAAGGCCAAUACAGCUAUGCCACAACAAAAACUCAGGUUCAUCUCAUUAGCUGCGUCUUGAAAAGGCAUGAAAUCUCAGCUGAGAUCCCCUGUGGCAAUGGCCUGUCACAGAUUCAAGGUGAUUCAGCUGCUCAUUUUCAGGUGUUCUAUCUAUCAUUCUUUCACCAAUCGAUGAUAAACUGAAUGUGCUCACCAGCUAUCACAUAAAGACAGAAAAGUGGAGCUGAAUUCAAGCCUUUAUUUUGCCACAUCUACGUCAUAAAAUCUAAAACUCCAUACUGUAUCUUCUAAGCUAGUCUCGUGUACCCAGGGCAGACACAUCUCCAAAGAACUGUUCAAAUAUGUGGAUCAUUUUACACAAGUUCACCAAUUUGGACCAAAUUAAAAAACAAACAAACAAACCUGUUAAAUGUAUAUGAAUAUUUGUGACAUUAAGGGUUCAUUUAGAAUGGAUUGGAAAUUUAAAUGCACUUGGGUUUGGAGACUUGAUGAACACUUUUCCACGAUAUGUAAGAUGAUCAAGUAAAAGUGUCAUACGUGAAGUACCAAAAAUAAGGCAAGAAAUGUGCGAAUUUGGCUGUAGACAAAUUGUUCACUGAAGGACAGCUUUACCCUGACCCCAUUACAACACCCAGCUUUUCUCUCACAUUACAUCACGCCUACCCAUCGGUGACUCUGAUAAAAUGAGACACGCUCCCUCCUCACACACAUGCAAACACACUCUUCCCCCCAUGGUCAUCUUUUUCAACAGCCACCCUUCAAAUGUAUGUUAUCUCUGUUCUUUUGCAUCAAGCUUAUUUACAUGCUUGUUUGAUUUAUGACCUUCAGUCUGUUGUUCUUAUUUACUCUCUUGAUAACCACUGACUGCAUGUUGGAGUCAAUGAUAUUUUUGAAGUUUACACUGAUACAAACUCAUAUACAAACUAUAAAGCAGGAAUAGUUUAACCCAGGCUACAUUGUAUAGGACAUAUACUAGGGCCUGACCGAUUUAGUGGCGAGCCAAUUAAAUUGGCCGAUUUUAGCCUGUUUGAGACUAAUCUGUAAUCGGCAAAAACUAGCUGAUUUUCGCCAAUAUUUUCAGAAAUAAAAUGCGGAGAGUAAGAAAAUGAUACACCAUUUGAAAAGUUCCCCAACGUAUCUUAUAGGUGGCGCAGUGACCUCAUGACAAUCUUCAUCCACUAACUACCUCAUGGCAUAGCAGAGUGACGGAUCUGAAGCAGACAGCUCAGUGACGCACGGAGGAGAGUGGUCCGCCUCAACAGCGUUGAGUACACAGUAAGUCAACAAGUUUCAGUUCAACCCACUUCAUGAUGUUCCCCUCUGUGCUGGUCUCGGUCAUGCCGAGUUAAUGGUGAAGCACCAUGUAAUAUGCAAGCUAAAUUUAGAGUGAGCCAGCUGCUAUUAGCCUUGCUACACUGUUCUCUGUGCCAGUAAUGGUAGAAUAAACAACAGUACACAUUACGUGAUGGAGCUACUUCUCUUACUGAGGCAGCUGCAUGUCUCCAGAUGAGACCGGACCGGAAAUGUGUAACGUGAGUUAAGACACAGAGACACCGAUUGGCGGCAGCGGCGGUGGUUGAAAAUGCUUUUCUGGUCCGAGUUUGAUCAGUCGGUCUUACUGUCGGCGUGAAGAGCAGUAGCCUACAGUAUACUGUAGAUAUCUACAGUAUAUAUGUAUUUUUUAUAACUUAAUAAAAAUUUAAAAAAAUUGUCCGAUUAAUUGGUAAUCAGAUUUUUUCCCCCUCUAAUAAUCAGUAUCGGCAUCGGUCCCAAAAAAUCCACAUUGGUCGGGCCCUAACUUAUAACAAAAAUCAUCAUGAUUUUUCAGGAUUUUGAAGCCUUUGAAUUCCACUAAUAACUCCAAUACUAGAGGAAUACUUAAGGACUUACCUUUACCUACUGGCCCUCAUGACCCUCUUGUUUCAGGAUUUUUCAUACUCAUUUACAGUUUCAAAUCAAAUCAAAUCAAACUUUAUUUAUAAAGCGCUUUUCCUACGAAAGAAUGUAACGCAAAGUGCUUUACAGUCACUUUGGCUCAUUUAAAGAUAACCAGAAAAGGUUUUUAGCCAAACAGCUUAUUAAUCAUAAAUAACUUAGCAGCAGGAUUUUUUAGGGAUUGUGGUUAAAAUAACAGUAAAUACAUAUUCAGCUCUUUUACUGCUACAUCACUCAUUUCACAGUAUUGACUUUUCAUCACUAGUAACCCAAUUAUAAAGACAUAAUUGAUGUAUCAAUCCAUUCAAUUAUAAAAAGUGGCCAUGCCCCAUCUCCGUGGUUCUCCACCGUAAGCAAUUUUACAAACAGCCUUCCAGAUGGUGCUUCACUGCUUCACUCCUCAGAGAUAGUGAAUUUGACAGGUACGUAUGGAACGCUCUCCUCUUGUAUCCUUUAUGGACACUGAAGAUUAUCUGAACGGCUCGCAUAUAUUACAGUGGGAAACAGUAAAAGCUGCAAUACAGCAUAUACCAUAAUCUUAUGCACAUUUUACAAGAUUAAAGCAGAAAAAGAUUAUGCGGAUGAUGGUAAAUCAAACAUUUUGUAAACAUUCCCCACUGACAGAGAGAGAAGCUGGAACAAAACAAAGAGAAGUGACAAAUAUAAGAAUUUAUGGAUUUUAUUCCAGUAAAUACAACCUAGUCACUUAGAAUUAAAAUGAUAAAGCAACCCACAUUAAUGCCUUUUAAAAAACUUGACAGAAAAAUAAAAAUAACUUCCAAAUCUGAAGUGGACCCAGAUAGAGGUGAACAGAUACAUUUAGAUAUUCACUAAUCUUGUCUUGCUGUGUAAAAUAUUUUAUUCUGAAUGGACAAAGCCUCUCGAUAACAGUUGUUACUUAUGAAUAGCAAGAGGGAUGCAGCAAACAAGUAGAACAAUUAAGGGCAUUAUUGCAAAUCAAUCCAGGAAAAGGAGUAUGAUGCUGUCAAAAAAAUUAAGGAUUUCACCUCUUCUUGUUGACAUUGUGGCAAUCUCUAUUUAAUGGGGUGGAUAUUUUUGACAUUACUGGCAAUUUAUUUGCAGAGCACAAAAAUCCAGUUUUGAGGUCAAUAGCUGAGCAGUCAUAAAAAAAGUGGGAGUAAAAACUGCAGACACUGGUGAGGGAUGUUGUAAUGCACAAGAAGCUGACACGAGGUCCACUAGACUGAGGAAAAACAGACACAUAACGACCACAAAAUGCACACAGUAUGGGCUUUGGCAGAGGUACAGAGCUGGCUGAGUGAGAACAAAAUGUCAGCAGAAAAGUAACAGGCAAGAGGAUCUAAAUACAUUUGCUGCUGUUUACAUUUGCAUCUUUUUUAGCAUGCCAGUAUAAAAAAAGUUUAAUGUUUUGGCUUCAUUGUCAGUGAAAAUGUGAAGUUCAAUGGGGCUUAUACCCACAAAGCAGUCUAUUGAUUAGCCUAUAAUAUGAAUAAAACAGUUAAAUUCCCUGUUAAUCCAAACUUCAAGUAGGCUGAUAAGAUUACCAUGGAAGCACUACCAACCAUCAAAUCUAAAGUGCUGUGUUGAACCUGUAUUAAUAAACCAUUGUCAAAUCAUAAAAUGAUCAUUAAAUCAAAACUUACUCUUUCUUUAUUUAUAUCUUUAGUGAGUGGACAGGUAAAAAUCUAGAUAAUGUGUAGUUAGCCGGCAACUUGGCAAGCUAAUUAUACACCUCUUAAAUGAAAAUUAGACAAUUAUCCAGACCGGAAUUAUACUUCAAAUGAUCACCUGCUAACUAUACACUAUCCCAUACACAGACACCAGACAAUUAACCUGACUUUGAAGUAGGACUGGGCGAUUAUAUGAUUGUGAUUGAUGAUCGUGAUAAAUUUUAGUUCGAUCACGCUGAUCAACUGGAUGAAACAUAGCGGAAAUGUGCGUCACAACAGCCACCGAACAUGGAGCUAAAUCCGAAGCUGAAGGCAGCAAAAUAGAUGUCAGCCGUGACUUUGAGUCAUCUUUUGAAGAUGUUAUCGUUGAGAAGUUAUUCAACGUCGGUUGUGUGGUGGUGGUUCAGGUAUCUCCAAAGUGAUGUCAUGCAAGGUAUGUCAGUGGGUGGUGCCCUCAAAUACCAGCAACACAACAAAUCCGUUUAAUAAUUUGAAGAAGUACUUCCAGAGUGAAUGCAGAAAGCAUGAAAAUGGGAGUGGAGUCUGCACAGCCUGCCACCACUGACAUCACAAGUAGCAUUAGCAGUUUAGCCAAAACUAGCAGUGAAGCCACCAGACCAAAGCAGCAGUCAAUCAUAUCAUAUACUGUACAUUUACAUCACCUAAUGUUUACAUUUUAAUGCAUCUAAUGCAUCUAAACCUUACUGCACAGUAAUCAAUUAUACCAUCAAAGUGUAAAAAUUCAAUACACGAACUGGAUAAAUAUCGAUCAUCAAAGAUCCACAUGUCUUACUUCAGUUUUUGGACAUUUUUGGCAUCAACUUAAACCAGUGUCUGAGUCUGUGAAAAGCGCUUUACAAAUAAAAUUUAUUAUUAUUACGGUGUUAAAGGAACAGUUGAAACUCCAACCUAUGUCAGUGGUUUAUGACUGUAACAUUGAUACACAAUCCAGGCUGUAACCUUUCAGUGAUAAUCCUUUCUCUCUGAUAGAUACAGACAUCAAAGUCAUCAGAAAGGCUCUGUCAGAUAAUGUCACUCUAUUGUUGUUACAAAUGAUUAAAACUAGACAGCAGGAUGCAAUAACAGACAGAUAGUAAUCAAUCUGAGUCAAACUUGAGAUUACCCUAAGGGCUUUAAUACGGGAACAGAAGUUGUUUCAUUAUAUGCAGAGAAAGCUUCCAUCAAGGUCGUUUGAAAUUUCUUUUUCCCAGUUUACAAAAUUGAGAGUUUACAGAUUGAUUUACCAGUUGGAUUAGACAGUGAACAAGUCACUCAGGGCCACAGUCACAACUAAAGGGAUUAAGUCACCAAGUUUUACAAAGCAUGGUGGAAACAUUCCUCCUCUCUUUCUCCUUCACCUAUCACCUUGCUUUCCAAUUCUUUGCUGUAGCUGUCUGCAAUCGUCGAGGCACUGAGAGUAUACAUGUACCAUCUAAAGAACCAAACUGAAGAAUAAGACGGUAUGCAAAUGGAACCAAGCUUAACUGACAAGAACUCUGAAGUCCCACUACAUUAAGACAUUUCAGUAGCCUAUUCUAAAAAAUCUAAAUGACUUCACCACAGUAAUCACUUUCAACAAAGAGGCACAGUAAAUAAUAGUACCAGUGCUUCAGAUACACUAUAGCCACAGCUCAGACAGCUGAAUGGAAAGCCCACCAAAUCCUGCACCUAAUACAAGCAUUUAGUCAACACAUCCCAUGAUGAAACUACCAGGAAAUAGUCCAUUGUAUGUAAAUCUGUGAAACACUUAACUAUCCAGCUUUGAAAGUGCUGAUAUUUCAGAGCACACAGUAAAAAUUUCAGAUGUACCACAUUUGAAAACUUGUAAAGAGAAGCAUAGACCAGGAUUCAAUAUUCUAAUCCAUUCAGCUCAAGUGAGUCAUUGCAGAGGAGGUCAAUGCAAAUCAAUAAAAGAAAAAAAAAAUCUGUUCUGGUAGAGCUUUUAAAUUUUAUAUACAGUUAUGAGGAAAUAAACUAAUCCAUCAAAUUAUCAUAAAAAGUAACAAAAUGCCAUUAAUCUGUACAAAAACAUUAUCAUUGACAACCAAACCCAAGCCAAUCCAGAGUAAAGUUACAUUAAAGCAACUAAAAAAGUAAAGCAAAGUCUAAAUGGUGUGCCAAAUGGACGCAAUCUAAACAUCUCAUCUAAACUUGUUUUCAAUGAAUACACCCUAGCAAUCACACACUACUCACUUGCACAAUACUCCUGAGAAAAAAUCAGACAUAAAUUGUCUCAACCUUCAACCUGUGUAUCUCUCUCCCUUUCCUGGCCCAUUAUUCCAAAGCACCAUACAAUACUAGCACUGAUUUCACCACUACCAAGGAAACCACUUUCCUGACCUAGAAAAGCACUAGGACUUCAUUGGUAUCGAUAUUCUGAAAUAAUCACCCGUAAAAUGGCCUCCAGUUGAACUGAAGAGCACAGGUGGUACAAGUGUGGAGCUCAAAUCUAGCUCUUUUACUCACCAAUGAUUUCUAUUUCUCUUUGAGUAUUCCUGUUGUAUUCAUGUUUAUUUUUUAUACUUUUAGAUUUUUUUGAUAAUAGGUGUGUAUGUGGUUUCCAGUGCUUCUGGGGCAAGCCUCAAGUGGCCAUUUAAGGAAGUGCAGUUUUUAGCACUGUUGCACUGGCUUCAUUUCUCAAGCACAGAGGCUGUCUUUUGGACAUAACUAUGGCUGAGUUCAGUUUGAUGUGUGUGCCUCCUGUGAGUAGGCUGAUAAGAAUCUGUGGUCUUUGCAGUGUAGCAUUGAAUCCAGGGGCGUCAAGGUCAGGGAAAGAAGUACUGAAUGCUUAAGGCCCUUGUAAGGAGGGGGGCCCUUGACAAACCUGAAAUACACUUACUGUUUUCCUUGCUUUUGUUCCUCUCCAAGCUGUUACUGUUCUUGUAUAACAAAAAAGUCUGAUUUACUUAAAAUAUACUCUGAAUUUCUUUUUAGAAAUAAUGUGAAUUCUCUGUCAGAAGCCACUCUUACCUCUAUCAUAUGCAAAUGGUCAGUCUGUACAGUGCCUGAGUGAUGCUGAAGGUAGCACUGUAUCUCACUAUGAAGUUUUCAAAAGUGAAUAGAACGAAAAAAAUAAUCAGAAGGAAAAGAGCUCUGAAAAGUUUCUUUUAAAAGGAAAGUCUGCUCAAGUAAUACAGUUUAAGAAUGGUCGAAGUUAACGCUGGCAAGUUUUAUUUAAUACAGUCAGACAAAAUUCUAGUAGCUUUCGGUUCAUUUAGGCUACAUUUCAUGUAUAAGUUUAUCGUAUUCACAGAUGUCUCAGCAUGGUAGGCAAACCUCAUAGGAGCUAACAUUUGAUAGAUAUUACUUCCCGGUAAAGUCAGUUAACUUUGAAGCUAUUAUUUGUUAAUUUCCAACUAAACCAGCGAUAAAAAUAUUUGAUAUCAUUGGUUUUAUUACACUUAACAGUUUCAUGGUAUUAAAGACUUUGCAUUAGCUUUAAAUCUUAGCCUGAUAACACUUUAUAAAGACAGUGAAAUUAUGAAUUAUUAUUUUAUGGAGGAAAGCAAAUCAAGCUGUUUACUUAGUAAAGGAAAAAUGAUGGAGACAGGGCAGAAGAAAGUGAAGAAAGAGAAAACAUGUAUUUUUUUUAGCUGAGGACCCAGGUCUAUGGUCAGAAGAGGUGACCAAUCAACACGAGAAACAAGUGUCUAACAAUAAAAGAAAAAAAAAAGUCCAAACCAGAAAGGCACCAAAAUAUACGGAGGGCAAACCUUGCUGAGGAAAUGUUACAUUCGCUCUCGUGAUUACAUAUUCCUGAAUGUAAAACAAAGUUAUACUUAUUUAAAGCUUUAAUUGGGUUGUUUACAUAAUGGAGACAUGGUUUUCAUAAUUGUGCAGGGUUGGCUCAGGCUCUAGUGAUGGGGCUCGAGAAGAUCUAUUUUAAUUGGGCUCAGAAUUCGAAUCAGAGGAACUAUUGUUUAAAAGUUUCUACAAAAUAAUGUAAUCAAUUAAAUAAUUGAAAUCAAUAUUUGUAUCAACAUUUUUACAGCUUUAUUUGGUACCUGGUAUUGUCUCACUGUACAUUAUCCCUUGCAUGCUUUAAGAAAAAGCUGACUUAAUGUGAUUUAACUUAAAGUGAUGUGUGUUUUAUUUGUGAGAGAUCUGUAGAUUUAACUUGAAGGUUCUGCUUCACUCUGUAAUAAUUAGGGAUGCUUUGUAUAUUAUGUAAUUAAAUCCAUGGAUAAUGUUUUGCCACUGCUGCCCUUUUGUACCAUUCAACUCUGAGGAUGCUCAAGCAGGCAGCUGAAUUAAUGGAGGUUCUGUAUCACUUAAUGUCUAUAAGAAUAAACCAUGAAGAGAACUCUGUAGUAUCUGACCAUCACAGUAUAGAAGUUUACAAGUUACCUCACAUCUAGGCUGAAUACAAAUACACAAUACCUCUCACAUACAUGAAGAUACAACUACCCUACAUAAUCUUCUUUAAAGUCCCACUCAGAUUGUUUAUUUUUUUUAAAGUUUUUAUCAGUGGUCUUUAAACUGUAAUUUUAAGUUUUUAGCCAAAAUCACAUUACCUGUGGCAUUUUUGAGGACUUUUCUUCUGCAGAGCUCCAGUAGCUCAUUAGCUAUUUACCUCUGAGUCGUGGGAGGAGACAGCGCUGCCCUGCACACUUCUUCUCGAGUUAGCUUGCAGCCUAACAUUGUUGGUGUAGUAGAAGAAACGGGUAACAUAGGAGCUAUUCAGCUCCUAUGUUACCCGCACUAUUCUAAGCACUAUUCUUUUUGGGGGGCAUAAUGAAAGCUAAUAUCAUAAUUAGCUUUCUUGCGAGCAUUUCAAUCUGCUAAUGCACAUGCUUGUUCCACGAUCGUCCUCUCUAUUUCUCAGAGUCUGGCCUGCAUAGUGGGGCUCCAGGGGGCGGAGCUUGGAUUGGUAACGUAGGAAAUGUCAUUGUAUCCGAUUCUGCCGUUUGGUUUUGCCAGAGAUUCACAGCGAUUUGAAUGCAGAAAUACUCAGAAGUGCAAUUUCACGCUUACUUUUUCUCAUGAUUUGUCCUCUAGUAUCAGAAAAAUGCCAUUUGAACAUGUAAACAGCAGGAAAAACAUGAUUUUCACAGGAGUGGGUCUUUAACAGUUUUUCUUAGUUUUAUAUUGUUUGGCUUUUACUUUUUGAUCCCCUUUUAUAUGCCUCUGCUUUCAUUCCUCUUGUAACACGAUCUGCAUGUCUUCCUUCAGUCACUUAAUUACUAUUCUUCCUACAGUCUUCCUAUUUACUGAACCCUUCCUUUUCUCUUCUCUCUUCCUGCUCUGUUUCACACUCUCUUCCUCUCAAUCCAUCACUUAAGACAAUGCUAUAAGACCCUCGCUUUUUCCCCUCUCACAGUUGCCUUCUCAACACAAUCUCAUUAUUCAUACUCUUUCUCUUAUUGUCAUUCCUCGUGAUGUUUCGGUGUUUACCGUUAUCAUUGUACACUAUUUUAUCCAUCAAGAAAUCAGUUCAAUCCCUAGGAGCGGUGAUUACAUGUGUCGGUCUCCAGCCCCUGCUGAACAGAGAAAUCUUCAGGUUGACUCAAAAUUAGAAUAGAAAAUGUAUAAAAUGAUGAGAAAAAAAUGGAGGAGGAACCUCAGAUGAAUAGUUAUCCUCCCACAGGGUCUGUAGGCUGCUAAAAAUCACUCUGAAUGUGUACAUACACUGCCCAGCCUCCUCCCAAGAGCCUGGGUGGAGUGAAGGCAAGAACAUCCCGUCAAAAGCAAUAAAAAGUGACUUUAUAAAUAAAAACCUGACUCAUCAUCCACCCCUUUUUUCAUUUAUUAAGUUUGAGUAGCUCCCCUGUACUGCAGAUAAACAUUCUCUGAUCAACUCAUGCAAACACUCACCACAUACUUACAACCUCAUGAGUACUCUUCCCUGCUUUACACGUCCUCUUUUGUCACCACAGUCUUUAACCUCACAAUACAUAAAUCUGCUGUUGUUCUUUGAGGUCUUUGUUUGUACGUUCUGACAUGACAGCUCUGUUUAAUCACCCACUCAUUUUGUCAUUCAAUUCUUAAAGAGACACAUUUGUUUGCUCUAAGGUUCCCUCCUCGCAACAGGAACUUGCAUGAGUAACUUGACUGAGUUUAUCAGCUCUGAUGCCGUGCUUAACUUGCUGCUAAUUAUAGCCUGCACCGCUUCCCGGGGAGUGAGAGGAAGCCAAUAUUAUCAAUAGCGCAUAACCUUAAAGCUGGACAUAGGGCAGCUUGUUUGCUGUGCAUAGAAUAUCAUCCACUCCAGUGACACACUGGAGCUAUCAAUGCGAGAAGCAUUGACCAGUACACUGGGAUGAUGGUCUAUAUCUGUAAAAGCAGAGCGUAAACACUGUAGAGAGGACAAGGGUUGGUAUACAAUAGUUGUAGAGAGGUGGUGCACAGGGUCAUGAACCUUUUCAUUUGAUCAUAAUGAUGCUCUAGCAACACAAGUGGAAUAGGAUGUUGCCUUUGUUGCUUGUUUUUUUCUGCUAAAUGGUUGGCCUGUAUUCACUCCUAACUAUACAGACAGUUUCUUAAUAAGCUGUAGCUACAAAGUUUAGUAUCAGUUUAGGUUAAAUUUCAACAGUUUUUGAAGCUAACUAGCUUAUGACUCAUGCUUUUUCAUGCAUGUAAAACAAGAAACAGUGGCGUAGUGUGAUUUUAACAAAAUGCCAAGUCCAGCACUAAGAGUGCAAACAUGGAUUAGGAAAUUGUGUUGCCAAAAAAGCAGACUGAAUGAAGACUUAGUCUUGGCUUUAAGCUAACGUUAGCUCUUUUCCCACUGCAACCUUGCCACAACACCACAUCACAUCCACUCUGUCACAUAUCUUUGUACUUCCAUAAUGACCUGCAAUGGCGUUGUGUGUGUGUGUGUGUGUGUGUGUGUGUGUGUGUGUGUGUGUGUGUGUGUGUGUGUGUGUGUGUGUGUGUGUGUGUUUCUGUACUGCCUUGCCUGAUCCACCAGCUCACAUUGAUCCCAUCUUGCUCCUGUAACAUCUCUGCUACGACCUCCCAUGCUAGCAGGACUAUAUGUCCCACAUCAAGCCUGUGAUGGUGGGACAUGUUUAUUGAAAGCAAAAUAUGACAGGGAGUAAAAAUCACACCUUCAACUGGCAAUGUGACAAGGGCUAUUAGCAGCAGCUGGCAGGCAGCUGCUAGCCAGCAGAAGUUCUGUAUUCAUAUAUCCUAGGACAAUGAAAGGACUCUUUUGUUAUCUUACAGUUUUUGGUCAAAGCUCAAACUUUUGGUAACUCCAAUGAUGUUGUUUGUGUUGAUGUGUAUUUCCAGUGUUUUUGUGUGUUUCUUUUUGUCUGCAUUAAAUUUUUUACUUAAGCUGUUGCUAUCAAAAGUUUUUUUUUUUUUUUUAAUUAUUAUUAUUUUUUAUCAGUUAUAAAUGGUGUAUCAAGUUUGUACAACAGAAAACUCAAUUCAGUUUAAUUGAAGUAAUAUCAGUUGCCACUGUUAACUAUGACACCUACUAUUAAAAAAAAAAAAAAAAGUCACUGUUCAGCUGCUGGUACCUGCCAAUAGUGCAAAACCAGGCAACUGUUCCAGUAUCAGUGACUGAGAGGGGAAGGAGCAUCACUUUUUUAUGCUGUGGGUAUUUUCUUUUCUCAGUAGCACAUGGCUAAUUUGUUACUUACAUAUUACAGCAUUUCUCCUAAUCUCUUCUGAAUUUUAAGUUAGGUUAAGGGCCCCGUCUUCUAAUUUACUAGUGUAUUAGACUCGCUCAGGAUUUCACUUCACUGUAAGAGAUGACAUAACUGGCACCUUUAAGACCUAUUUGCUGCUGGAAAUUUCUCUUGUGGCAGGCACCGGGCUUCUCAAAAUUGCCGUGUAGUGCUGGCUUUCUGUCCAUCAAUUAUUAAUGUGUCUAUGUUCUGCUAGAGACCCUCUUACUUGAAGGAUGUGCUGUCUCAGUAUUAUGGUUAUUAUCUGCUUUUUGACUCAUGGAAGUGUUUUGCUAUUCAGGAGAGUCACCUGAAUUGGGCGAAAGAGACCAUGUAGUAAUUGACAACGCAAUAAAGAUGAGGCCAGGGGGAUGAUGAAUUGAAAAUGUUAAACUGAAUCAAUAAUUCUAUACUUAUCUUAUGAGUAGUUUGACUUAUAAUUCAGUUUUACACAUCAUACUGGAAAGUCUGCAGGCAUCAACUGUGUUAUCAUGUAAGCUCGCUUUCAAGUGUGAGGGUGUGAAUAAGAAACUGAGAAACUUUAAUAAAUCUACCUACCAGCCCACCGCCAAAUUCCAGACUUGAGGCUGACCUGACAUUAUAUUUUGGCAAGUUUUUUCCUACACAAAACAGUGAACAAGUCUAGUCCUGCUUAAAAUAAGAAAUACAAUGAGAGGAGGCAAGGAGCUUAUAUAAGCUCAUUUUCAACACCUCUCAUUGUGCUACACGUAAAGUGUUAAAAACACAAAUUGAAGCCAGCUCUGACACAUGACCACAAACAAAUCUCAUAUCAUUAAACCACUGCCUGACUUGUACGCUCCUUUCAAGAUCUAAAAGAGAAAUGAAGCCCUUUUUUUUCUUCAAGUGCAAAAAGAGUUCAGUUUAGUGGCAAUACAGUAGAAGCUGCACAUAAAAGACUGAACAGUCAGAGGUAUGAAGGAUUUUCUUUGUUCAUCCAUCAUUCACAUAACUUUGUUAAAUGUUGUGGGUGGGUAACAUUAAAUGCACAAUGGGGAGCUUUCAAUGUAUUUCAAAAUAGUCCCACUCUAAUACUGAUGCCUCCUUAUGUCUUUAACAGUCAAAUGAGCGUAUAGGUGAUAAGACAGAUAUUUUUUAUGCUUGAGUCGGUAUGUAGGACUCGCCAAGAAACUCUGUUGGUCAAGUUUGCCUGUGAGUUAUCGAGCGGGUUGAGUUUUUUCUCCUUGGAUAAUUUUCAAUAUACAGAAUGUGUUGAACUCAUGGCUAAAACUAGAAGAAGGAUUAGCAAAAGAUGUUUGUUUUAUGUUCAAGUGUAGAUGGUGAGACUCCCCUGCUUAGUAAAAGAGCAAAACGGCUAUGAACUGGAUUUAUUUUUUACACAUUUACUGGUCUUUGAGGGCAGAAGUGUCAAGCUGUGUACUUUUUAGCUGAAAAUAUAUUGGGAGACUGGGGCGGACAGCAUAGGAAAGUGGGGACUACAGAAACCAUCAUCCCAUGCUUGCCCAUCAUUCUUUGUGCUUUGCUUUCUGCCUGAGAUGUAGUACAGGAAAAAAUGGUGCACACCAGCACCAGUGACAACAGGCAGAAAGAUUCGGCAGAAACUUUUAGAUCUGAUGUGUGGAAGCAUUUAAGUUUAAGAAACAACAGCGUUUCCUUUUCUUUAACAAUUGCUAAUUGCUAACACCUUCUAACAGGAGAGCUGGAUAUAACCUGUGAAGUGUGUGUCACAUCUAUCAUGAAUAGGCACAAGAAAAGUAACAAGUUUCUCUUUCUGUUCAACUCAUCAAAUAUAAGGACAUGGUUUUGUGUUGUCAGGAUGAGGGUGCACAGUGCAACUCUGUGCAACAGAGAGCGCAAAUGCUUACCCCUCAUGAGGGGUAUCCGCAAUAGAUUUUUAUUGGAUACCCCCUCAGGUUUUAAAAUAAUUCAUUUAUUAGGUCAUUUAAUCGCUGGAAUCAUGCUUGGAAUACCAGUUAAAAGUGGUACCAACAGUAAACUUAAAUGAUUGUUACUUAGUUAACUAGAGGACGACCAAAACCGACAAAGAGCUUGUCUUUUUAUUGAGUUUGACUUUGAUUAAGAGACAUAAAACAUUCAUCAAAUGUACCUUGUAUUUUUGUAGUCGUAACAAAUAUCACAUUGGCUUAUUUUGGUAUGCCCUGGCUCACUACCAAAAAAAGGCAGUCUUGAGAUUUUAAGUCAACAAAAAGCUGAUAUUGCCUUUCCAGUACUUGGCUUGUUAAACUCUUUGGUCUCUUUCCCAGCUAAAUCAUACUGUACUGAGGAGACGCAUAAUGGAGGAUCAGAUAAGGUCAUAGUUUUCCUUUGCUGAGGAAGUCUUCCCUGAAUCUUUUGGGAUUCUGAGACACUCCCUUCAGCAACUUUUUGCUUUAUUUCAUCCAUUACUGACCGUUAGGCAAAUGCAACACAUCGGCUACGCUCUGCCUCGCUCUCUGUUUUUCCUGCUGGGCAUACUGUGUCCUACUUGGAAUACAUUACACACAUGGAUGCAGACCAUUGGCGGAAAAGAAAGAGGGAACAAUUUCUCUCUAAAUGAUAUUUGAAAAUAACCAAACCUGAAUGCAACCUGGGGCUGGACCAAACUGCACCAAACACCCCCAAACUUGAUAGUAUGUUCAGCUUACCUUUGGGCUGGAGUCAUUUUGCAGGGGAAAUAGAGAUCCACUAUUGGCAUCCUUGUAUUAAAGCAGUGUAAAUGAGCGCCUUCUGGAUUUCACAUAAAUUGCGUGAUAAAAAUCUCUUAGAUAAGCAGGGCAAAAAUGACUUGCCUAUUUCUUUGUUCAUAUCUGAAGACAGAAAGCUUUCAAAGCUCUCUCCCCAAAGACUUGCUUUUAAGCUGCUGCACUAUUGUACUUCAGAAAUGGCCUAUACAAGUCUUAUCCUGUGGUUUUAGUGGAAUUUUUUUUCCUCUGGUGGAUUGUGGAGCACUCUACAGGUUUGCUAAAUUUUUCCAGCGCCGCAACAUUUUCAUGAAUAUAUCUAUUACUGUAUAGAUGUUCAUUAUAGAGCUGCAGGAAGCACUGCAGGGAAACACUGCUCUCCUGUAGCCUUUUCCUCAAGAUGAAAACACUACUGGGCUACGCUGCUGUUGCCUUGGAAACCUGGUCACUCUCACUCUUUUAUCCACACUCUUCACCACUCGCUUCAUUAAGUGCAUUGCUGCUGGCAAUUAGAAUAAAACCAGCGGCAGGGCUGGCUGUCUUGAAAUGCAGUCUCCAAUUAAACACUUUCAAAUAGCAAUGUUUCUUCAAGCUACAUCUGCUCUCUAUAUAAUAAACCAUGCACCUGGGAGUGAUGCUUCUUAAAAGACUUCACUAUGCAUGCUAUACCAAUGAAGGACUUCAAAAUCCAUGUCUUUUAGCACCGUGAAUACAAAUGUAACAUGGAUCAGACACUGCCUUGUUGCUCUGAUGCCCUUUUUUUCGAGCCUGCUCUGUGUUCAAAUAAGCAAAACAACAUUGCAGACAUUGUCAUGGUUAUCUCACUGGAGGAGAAAGAAAGCCUGAGUGAUCAAUCCAGAUCUGCAUCCGUGUGUGCGCUCUAUUAUUUCAAGUACCAGAGGGAGAAAGAGAGCGUUUUUUUUUCUUCUUGCUUCUCCACUCAAGGCCAUUUCUAUACAAAUGAUGUAUGUGGAGUGAAUGAUGCUUACAAGUCUUUAAGUCUGAUCACACUCAGCGAUUUAUUUUAGCACCCAGCAUUUUUACUUUGAUUAAUUGAGGAUGUUAUGACUGCAUUAAAAUUGAUGAAGUAAAUUUAAGUGAAUCAUCAUCAUCGCAGGACAGUUUUGCUUUAAGUGAAUAAGCACUCUGCAGAAGUGCACUUGGUAUGUUUCAUGUACAACAUCAUCAGUAAUUUAAUCUUGGCCCUGGGUUGCUCUCACACAUACUAAAAACUGAGGAAAGAGGAAAAAAUAAAAAAAAGCUGGAUGUGUUUCAGGCAGCACUGAAAAGCAGCCAGUAAACCUCACCCUUACUCAGCUGAGCCUUCUUUGUAUCACUCAUUUAACACCCGAUUAACUCCCACCUGAGCACACGCUCGGUCAUUACUGAAUUACCUACAAGCUAUCCAUUCGCAUUGACAGACCUUUUGUAAUCAGGCGACAAGCCCUUCGACAGAGUUAGGUCAGACGUGAUGGCGGAUAUCAGACCGCUUUAAGUUAAGCAUAGACUUGACAUUGCAGUAGAUCAUAAAGUCUUAACAUUUUCAGAAUAUCUAUUAAAAAGAUAAAUUAUUGAAGCUAUCUUUUUGACGCUGUAAGACACUGACCCUUAAACCCAUAAACUAAAUUAAUCUAUCGUAACCUGGAAGAAAGAUUCAACUCCUGCCAAAUCUACUCCACAAAGUGCGCCUUUAGACAGUCCUCAGAAUUUAAGCUGUCAAUCUCUGUUCCUCUAUGAAACCAUCAGAAAAUAAAUUUCAGAGGUAAUAUCGUCACUUCAAUAAAUCUUUGUCUAAAUAGAGCCAGCGCCUGAGAGUGUUCCAGAAUUAAUUCAAAGACGAGGCACACAGCCACCGAGAUCGAGGACUUGUUAUGAUGCGACAGCCCUGAGUGAGAUUGAAUUUUACUUUACUGUAAUGAUUUGUUUUACAAGGGGAAAAACCCAACAUAAUAACUGCGAGGGUAAAAGGACACAAGGUUUUCUUUAAUCAAGAAAAUCAAUAAAAAAUAAAUAAAAAAUCCACAUUUCUUCAGUAAACAAGAGCCACAGUCAAUUAUUUGCUUUGAUGAUGUUAAAAGUUAUUUGUCAGCCAACAGGUCAGGAAUGUUGUUCUGAAAUUAUUCAGCAAGUAAAACCAAAUGUCUUAUUUUGCUUCAAGGUUUGUUGUCUUACAAACAUAUCCAUUUAAAACGGAUGUUACUUUUACUCCAUGUUAAACUGGGCAUACACUGUACCGUUUCAUAAAUGUGGUUUAUGAAUGAAAUUAAAUGAAUGAAGGUCGAUUCAGUUAAUUGGGGAUUGUCAAUCAAGUUUCCUCUGAUACAUUCACAAGCAGGAGUGGAAGUCAGAGAAUAUGACCUUAACAAUAAUACCCUUUUGAUGUGUCAACUAAGCUUGAAAACAUAGAGGCUUCAUAAAGUAAAUACUUGCUGUUGCAUUGGAUUGCCUGAUUUCGCACUAGUGAUCAUAACACCAUGGCUGAUUGCUGAGUAUUUGAACCAUCGUGUUGCCACAACAUGAUGUCUCAACCAGAGAUUUCAUUUAUUAAAACUAUUCAAUUAAAAAAUCUUCCAUCACUGUUUCUGAAACCACAAAAUCAUCAUCUUUUGGAUGAGAAAAUAAGUGUUGCAGUGGAAUACAAGCUGACCAUAAUUAGACUGAAAUUAUUGCACAUUAAAAAAAAAACUAUUGGUAACACUUUUCAAUAACCAUAAUUUAUAAAUGGUAAAUAGACAGUUUAUUAAUGUUUAAUCAUCAUUUAAAAACAGCAUAUAGACCAAUUUUAAAUGGCAAAUAGAUAGUUUAUUAACAUAAGUUAAUAGUUACUUAACCAUAAACAAGCAAUGAAAUUAUGAUAAUUUUCAUUAAUUAUUAAUGGACUAUUUAUUAAAUGUUUAUAUAGGGUUUAAAUGUUGGUUGUAAAACAUCUAGAUUAAAAUGUGUGUCAGUAGCACUUCGUAAAUGGUUAAUACUUGGUUUUUAAACCAUCUGUAAACAUUACUUAGAUGGUUAUUGUAAAGUUAGGGUUAGGGUUAGGUUUUUAAAAUUGUAAAAUUUACAAUUUAUAAGUGGUCUAUAUGAUAUUUAUAAAUGAUGAUUAAACAUUAAUAAACUAUCUGUUUACCAUUUAUAUGUUAUGGUUAUUGUAGUGUUACCAAACUAUUUUCUUUGAAAUGAAUUACUGUCAUAGGUACACUAAAUUUCAUCUUUAGGCGGUAAAAUCCAAGAAUAUGAUGUUUGUGACACUGACAUGUUGUUUUAUCAGUGGCAGGUAAAUUUCCAUGUUAAUUGGAACAGCAGGGUUAAUAUUGUUAAUAUAUAAUAAGCUGCAGAUUAAUAUUACACGGAUGUUUUUAAUGGGAAAUAUUGAAGCAUUGCAUUCUGCGUAUGCAUCACCCCGAAAAGCUUCAAAGAUAUCCGUGACAUGAGUGUUUCUGUGUUGUUCAUUCAUGGACAGUAAGUUAUUUCAUUUCUCGCUGCAGAGCUCCGGCUCCCUCAUAAAAGAGACAAAAUUUCCACUCCACUUAAUUAAUAAAACAACUUUAUUUCCUUUGACAUGAGCCAAGCCUUGUCCACAGGCACCAGUGAGCCCCCUGCACCUCCCCCCUCAUGCACCUGCUGGCUCUUAGGGUCGCGGCUGACGAGUUAAUGCGGCUCAGGUGUUGUAAUUGAAGAUUGCUACCAGCUGGUUGCGGUGUAGCUUGGCAGGGCGAGGCAUAGCCGAGCUGGCUGGCUGUCGGGCUGAACAGGUGAGCGGUGCUUCAGUGCUGCUGGCCUCUGUUCCACAACAAGCCCCUUGUUCAUGAAGAGGCACUCAUGUCUCCAGGCGCCACAUGCACAUAAUAGCUCUAACGGUGAAAUAAAGGGAAAAGAAUGAGUGCUUUAUGGAAUAUUAAUCUGUAUUUGAAGAUACUCUAAAAUUAAAAAAAAACAAACAGCUAACCUCAUUAGCAUCAUCUCAUUGAAACAUUUAAAGUAGGAAGAGAAUAGAACCACAAUAUCAAUAUUAACAAUUUUUUGCUGUCCAAAUACUUCCUGGGCUGACUGUAGCACCAAAUAUUCACUUAGUUUAAUGUAAACCUCCCACACACUCUAUGGCACAAGAGGUGGGAACGAUCCAUAUUAGAUCACAUCAGCCACAAAAUCUCUUCCAAACUCUUCACAAGCUUACUGCUAGCCAGGGAGAGCUCACUCACUGCCUCUUUGUAGCCUGAAAGGAUACAUUUAAUGCUUUCCAUUUACAUUUCUAAACCUGAUAAACAUGACAUUUAAAGGAGUAAUCUAAUAAGCCAGCACUACAGGUCCAAAUGGAAUUAGCACAGUUUGCCUUCGCCGAAGAUGUAUUCAGAAUUUACACAGACGUCUUAAGGAUGUCUAAACUACAUUAGCAGUUUCUCCGUUCCCUCACACUCAUUUCCAUUAGCAGCGUAAGCUGCGCAUUUAUAAUACCUUCUCCAACUGCAACAACUAAUAAAGGCUCUCGACAUCAGAGGUCAUGGUGCGAGUUUGCUUUUCUUCUCAAGUGCCCUCUUGAAUUUCAGUUGGAGUUGAAAGUAGAGCCAAAUCUAUUACAAAUAUGCACAUAAACUUAAAAAAUCUUGGUGUUAAAUUCAGACCUGACAGUUCUAUUUAGUAAGAAUAAGUGAAAAGUGUCCAAAAAAGCAAUAAGAAGCAUAUCAAUGACCUGCCUUAUGCAACUAGACAAGGAGUCAGGCACACUCUGUACAUGAUUUUAAAAUAGAAAAUACCCUUUCUCUUUUUUUUUUUUUGUGAAGCUGCUUUUGCUGUUCUGCCAGAGGGACACAGAAUAUGUGAGCAAAGACAAAGCAAAUCUAGCUUUCUUCCUCAGCAAAAUGCUGCAGGGAGAGAAGUCCACAUUUAGUGGUUGUGGGACAGUUUGUGUAACCGCCGGCAUUCCCUGCAGCUCUCAAGAAAUUUGAAAUCGAUCAUUGGAUUUACACACUGUGGCACCUGGGUGGGGAUGGGUGCAAGCCAGCACCUUAUGCCUCUCAAACAACUUCAGUGGCACACUGCGCCAUGAGGGGCAGCAGCACUCAGCAGAGGGAGACAAGUCAAUAAACAGUUUCUUGGGCCACUGGGUUGUUUGUCAAGAGCAAUUACAGGAAAAAAAAAAAAAAAAAACAUUUUUGAGACUGAUGUUAUCCAGUUCAAACCUGGUAUAGAUUGGAAUGGAAAGUAAACUGAAAAGAUUGGAGGAUGGAUUGGCGGGGGAAUGUGUGGCACUUAAUUCUCUCAGUAAUACGAGCUGCUGUAAAAGACCACAGAAAGGGUCAGAAUAGAGAAGAGGGGGUAAAUGAAGACAGGGGCAGACAGGGGGGCAUGAAAUAUGCAUGUUCGUCUUAAAGUAGGAGAAAAGGAUACCAAUGAAGCCAAAAAUAGGCAAAUAAAAAGUUACUACCCUUGAGAUAUGCUUAAGAUUCAAAUAUGGGAUGCUCAUUGCUCGAUGAAAUGCAGAAAAAAAAAGGAUAUUGAAAGGUCACAGUGUGUUCCUCCAUUAGGAUUUACAAGCGGGGGAAAUAACAUGAUGCAUGUAAAGUCAUCUGAAAGAACAGAGGAAAUCUCAUGGCAAAUGAAAUGUUAAAGAAGAGCUAUGUUCAGAACACUGUAACGCCUGAGGCCAUUACAGUCUGUUGUUGGAAGAUAGUCUUGCCUUGUUACAUUGUACUGGCAGACAAUUCAUAAUUAAAUAUUAAGUCUAAUUAGCACAGUCUUCCUCGGUGACUUAUUAAUGUCAGGGUAAGCUUCAGCUACUUCAAAUUGGUGAAUUUAGUGACGGAUUUGUGUAAAAAUAUCAAUAGUUGCAGAAAUAAAAGUAGUUCUUUCCUGUAACUUAGUAUGUGCACUUCCUGUGUCAUUGACUGCAAUGCUAAGGGGUUUCUAGGUAUUUGACAAAGAAAGCUGUUUCAACAUUUGAACUGUUUCAUCAUGUUUAAUCAAAAAAAAGGAGGAAAGCUUGUUAGAGAGUUUUACAGGGGAAUAUUAGCUUUCCUUGCAACAGUUCUCUAAGUGCAGAGUUCACAACCCAAUCAUCUGACACUUAAAACUAAUCACCUGCCUCACACAAGCCGCUAACUUUUUCACAGAGGCCUCCAGGUGAUGGAAUAAUUGGUUUUGGUUCACUUUCUUCCAGGAGAUGUUGUAGUUUCUUUUUGUUUUAUGUGCCUCUCCUCACUCUAAAGGUGUUUAGGUUUAGGUGGUGAUUGGAUCUUGUGCAAUAUAGUGAUAUAUUGCAGGCAGCGUGAUCACUCUGCUGAAUGGUAAGAGCCAACUGUCACUUAGGCAGAUCCAAAUAAUUGAUUGGCUCAUUAUCCUAACUCCGUAUUAUCUCUGUGAGAGACUUCACGUCACUUUGUUGCAGCAACCUUUCAUUUCACCGGGGGGGUUUAUUGCUGAAUUAAUUUGUGUGCUUACCAAUCUCAUAACUAACACACUGCACUGCUCUGAUUCAGUCCAAUGAUGAGUGCCACAGUGCUCGAUUUAAGCAUUAUUCUUUAAUACGGGAUAUUCGGGGGGCUGGAUAAAAUGUCCAGGAGGCUUUGGAGCAGACAACCAACCGCAGUCCAACAUUUAUUGAUUAACACUAUCUGUGCUGAGAUGUGCUUUCAGUGAGGAUCAAUACUAGAUAGUAGCAAAGUGUAAAUAUCAAUGUAUUCAGGACCUUUUAGGUGCUAUUUGCUAACUUACUACAGUACACUAUCACCCAAAAGAGCAGUCAGCGCAGAAAAAUUGAUGUUAUUUCCAUGUGGUGUGAAAAAAAUCUUAAGCAAUCACACUGUGGCGUGUUUUUUGUAUAUUUUGACACUGCAGAGCUCCCUGUCUAAGCCUUUUACAGGUCUGCCACUGGCCCCCCUCACAUAUCUAUUGUACAGUAAUCACUAUCUGAUUGUAAUCAGCUGACCAUCUCCCCUGAAGUGACAGACUGUAACCUUUAGGAGGAAGUGACCCAUCUCCUCUGAGACAGGCCGGUGUCGACAGAAAAUUCACAGAGACCAAGUCUUUCAAGAAGCAGCCAAAAGGCCACCAGCUUGUCGAGGUGGGGGUACGCACACAGCUUAGGGAUGUCAAACCCUCAGAGCUCUGCCUGUUCACGGCUUGAUAAUUGGUCAUCUAUCUGCUCUCCUGUGAUCACCAGUUUAGUUCCAGCUCUGUGGGUCAGGCAUUUAUUUCUGGUCUCAUUGCUGCUUGUUUGUUUCCGGUUAUGUAGUCAGCUUUUUACUUCUGGUCCUGUGAUCAGAGAUUUAUUUCUGGUGCUGCAGUCAGUGGUUUACGACUGGUUUCAAGGACAUUGCAGAACUGCAUCCAUUUUCUGCUUGAUUUUAUUAAUUGGCUUUCGACAUAUUUAACAAAGUGGAAAUAUUGUAUCAUGGUCAGAUAUCAAAACUAAAAUAGAGUAGACAAUAUCCAGAGACAUGGCAGUGGUUUUGCUGACUGCUGAAAGCUGAUGUUGAACUAAACUGCACUGCCUGGAUAGCUGGAAGCUGGAGUGUAUGGCUUCAUGUUUAGCUUGGAGCUGAACAGCAUAACUGGCUUAACCUUGUAUGAAGGAGCAGCCAAAGGAUAACUAGAAAGGGACAGAGGGGUCAAGCGAUGAAAGGUGCUGAAAUGAGAGUUGUAGUGUUAGGACUUAUAUCAGCUUAAGUGUAAGAAGGAGGUGAAGAGGAGUCAUUUAAGUUCUCACUGGGGAGAACAUCAUCAACUGAGGGCUGAGCCUCAUAAGCUCUGCUUUUAACUUGAACUAUGGGGUCUUAUGGUGCUAUUAUUGUGGCAAAACAAUUUCCAAAUGGGUGCAAAGAUUCACAACUGCGCAUAUCCAUCCACAAAGCUGUAAACUGAUCCACAAAUGUGUACAUAGAUCCAUAAAUGCGUUCAUAGAUCAAUGAAUGUGGGGACUGAGCAAACCCAAGGCCUCGCACAGGUUGAUAAUAUAUUUUCUUACACAUUUGUGGAUCUUAAGCGAGGUAGGACUGUAACAAAAGUUUUGUGUUAACAAUAGGGGUGGAAGAAAAAAUCGAUACAGCAUUGUAUUACAAUAUUUUGUCUAGUGAUAUAUCGUAUCAUCUCAUUUACUAAGUAUCGAUUUUUCAAAUUAACUGCUAAUAUGAAGUCAAAUCUAUAAUAAUGGAAAAAUAAAAUCAAGUGUUUGUCCAGUUAGGUUGGCAGAGGUAUCUUAAUAGAGCAGGAGAAAGUUUGUUUAACAACAUGAAAAAAAAUACUAUGUAAGACAAACAUAAAGGAAAGACAAAUGCUAAAUUAGCUUUGCAGUUAAAAAAAUGAAAAAGUAGUAAUAUAUACUGUAUCUCAAUACUCACUGUAUUGCAAAAUGUUAAAAAAUCUCAAUAACAUUGUACAGUGACCAGAGUAUCGUGAUACUAUUGUAUCGUGGUGCUACUAGUGAUUUCUAUCCCUAGUUAACAGACAGACAAUUGAGUGGCCUGCCUUAAUUUUAACUGAUGAACUUAUGGGUAUUUUCAGGUUUUGUAUAAGAAAAAAUUAGACUUAUUUGACUUCAUAUACAAUCACAAAUUGGUCCACAUUUGUAGAUCUGCAUUUGUGGAUAUGUGGACACAUUUGUAAAUCUUAUAUACAUUUGAAAAGGUUUUACAUAUUAGUGGAUUUAUGUACGCAGUUGUGAAUUUUUGUUUGCAUUUGCAAAUAAUUCUGCGACAAUAAUAGCUCCAGGGUCUGUGAUUAGGACAAACAUGACUUAGUUUUGGUUCAUGGAAAUAUCUAUCCUUGAAACAUUUUGCAGAUUGCUGUCAUCCAGGAAGAGACAAAUCCAAAAUAAAUCUUUUGAGUUCUUGAAUUUGGUAAAGAAGAGAUUUAUGUUACUUCUCUGUUGUGUUAAUUAUUAAAGAUAAAAAAGUAUAUCAUCUGUGUGCUGAAUGUCAUGAGGCACUCUGUGAUCGCCUCGUAGGGGUUACCCACAAACAAGCGGCUGCUGGAAGAGAGUGGGUGAGUUGUGUUUAGUCUCUUUGCUAAAGAAAUCAGGUAAAGCUAAAAAGAUGUUUGGUGGCUAGUACUAUGGCUGUUGAUGAAGUUAGGUGCUGUUCUGAGCAUUAUCUGUGGCUAUAGAGUGGCUUUUUGGUUGAGGUAAGCGUGGAGCCAUCGCCUGCUGUGUAUUGCUAUCGUGCGGUUGUUACUGAAGUUGGUACACCUAGAGAAGCAAGCAGCCGGCAACAUUCAUCUCCUGAGGGGAUGACUAACUUCGUGUUAUGGUGUGUUUGACCCUAAGUUAAUUUUACGCCAGAAUUUCCCUUUAAAGUAACACAGUAUAUACUACAGGUAGUGAAAACAACCCUUGUUUAUUUGUGUGUGCAUAUGCAUAUUUUGCGCCACCCUCGCAUAACCUAUUAACCAUGCUAGGCCACCCAAGUCAGAAAAGUAUGGACACACCCCAGGGUCCAGAUUCUGAGGUUUUGUUUCCAUCAGAGGGUCUGUUUUGGGAGAAAAACAGGACUUCAGACCCUUCCAGUCGACUUUUAUGUCUGUCAGGAGGCUUUCUUUUUGAAACUUCUGUCUGUGAGCGUGUGUGUAUUCUUGGUCGGACAAACCUGAUAGAGAGAAUGAAGUUCUCCCAAUAUUGAGUAAGGGCACAGAGUUACAGCUGCUGUCAAUCAAAAAUAGUGAUGUGUGUGUGGAUUCCCAAAAUGUGGUCAUUGUUACAGGCUCCAGAUUUGCUCAUGUAUCAGUGUGUUGGAAUUGUAAUGCACAAGAAUCUACCAACCACAGCUGAUUUUGUCUGUGAAUUUUGAUCCAGUAAAAAUAUGUUAGAAGAAAAAUGCUUCAAUCACUGAUCUAAAACAAUAAUUGAACUUCUGAGCUUACCUUUUUUUAUCAAAGAGACAAAUGGAGGGAGCAGUUUUAAUGCUAAAAAGUUAAAGUGAUGAUAAAUAACACCUGUGUAAACUUGGCUUGAAGCUGCUGUGAGACACAGUAGUCUUUGUAGCAGGGGUCUCACAGAAAUGUCAAUCACGUGGCUGGUGAACACCAUGGAGAUCAGAUAAGUGGUCUAAUUAGCGAAUCUCAAUCAGCUGUGUGUCCCCACCUGCAAUUAAAGGUUGCCAUAGUGACGAUAACCGCUGAGUGACUGCUGGAUAUGAUGGUUCAUUUAUUGGAGAUUAACCUGGAAGACACUCCUCACUCCUCAAACUCCAGCGUGCUUCUCAAGACUCUACUACCCAUAACCUUUCUUUUUAUUGUGAAAGCUUGGGGUUCUGUUGAGUGUGUGCUCAAAAAUAUGAGUUCAUGGUGUCAGAAACAGAGCAAGCUGAAAAGUCAUUUUCUCUUGAUUUUUUUUGGGUCUAAGUUUGCACUGGAUUAUAAAGCAAAUGGACCGUGCUCCUGUUGCUUUGUAGCCUGGCAACUAGACUAACCAGCAAGCUUGUAUUUUAUUUGUUCUGGCAGACUGGCCUAACCUUACAUUCAUACAGAUUUCUGGGAGGUUAGGCCAGUCUGAAAUGUUUACCCAAUAUGGAGCUGGUCAAGCUGUUAGGACAUAAAAACUUGGAGAAUCUGAAAUGAAACCACUGUGUAAGAAACUUGUGAAUGUCUUCUGCUCGGUAAAAAAAUGGUAAUAAUUAGUACCUUGUAGAAUUAGUGGACAUAUAAUCCAGCAGUCUAACACCAUGUAAAAAAAAAAAAAACUGCUGCUCUGAUAGGCAUUUUGUUUCACAGGAGUAAAGAGUUUAGAAAAUCAGUGUAAAGAAUAAACUUCAAUGUCUUCAAAGAGCUGAAACAUGAAGAAAUGUCUACGUCAGACGACUUUGAUGUUUCAAAAAUAUGUAAUCUUAUAUCUCGGCAGCUCUGUCUCCUAGAAUGUGAUUAAACUGUUAUUCGUAUUCUUAUUUUCCACCACAACAGUAGUGCAACCGGCUUUUAAAAUUAUGUCAGCAUGCAAAUAGGCAAAGCAUGAAUGCAAUACUGACUUAAAGGGAUAUUCCGGCGUAAAAUUAAUGUAGAGUCAAAUACACCAUAACACCUGGUUAGACACCCCCUCGAGAGAUGAGUGUUGCCUAAACAGACUAAACACAACUCACCUACUCACCGAGUUGUGUUUAGUCUCUUUGCUAAAGAAAUCAGGCAAAGCUAAAAUGAUAUUUGGUGGUUAGUGCUGUGGCUGGGACCCUAUAUGUACUGUUGAUGAAGUUAGUUGCUGUUCUGAGUAUUAUUUGUGGCUAUAGAGUGGCGUUUUGGUUGAGGUUUGUUCAUGGCUUCUCAGGCCGCUCUGUAUUGCUAUCAUGCGGUUGUUACUAAAGUUGGUAUAAUGAGAGAAGGAAGCGGUCGGCAACAUUCAUCUGUGGAGGGGGUGUCUUAACUCGGUGUUAUGGUGUGUUUGACCCAAAAUUAAUUUUACACUGGAAUAUCCCUUUAAUGACCAGCGCUGGCAGUAUCUCAAGGCACCAUUGUCUGGGAUCAACAAACUGGUUCGUGUCUGAUUUCAUUACAGCAACAUAACCAUUAAUGUUGAAAAUGAUACUGUGGACAUGUCCAAAGUAUUUCACAAGACAGCCAUUUUGGCGGGAAAUCCAAAAUACACUGCUGAUAUCUCCUUCACAGACAUGUUUACCUCUUCGUACACCAAUCAACAGCAUUUCUUCACUCUGUUUAUAGGAAAACUAAGUCUUUCCUUUUUACAUUUCCUCCACAUGAUUUUGCUUUUGCAAAAGAUGAAUAUGUAAUCCAUGAAAACUAGGCUUGAAUAGGUGGUAUUCAAGCAUAUUUUCGUGUACAUACAUGUCAGUAAUUUUUUUGCUUUCAUGCCAGCAGAUGCGCAUGGUUUCACCGUCCCUUAACAGUAUGAGCCCUUUCAAGUACCUGCCCAGCUGAGACUAUGAAAUGUAAAUGGAAAAGUAAAGUGCAUGGAGAAGUUUUGUUGCAGUCAGUGAGCUCUGUGUGUGAAAUGAGUUUGAGUGGGACACCCUCGUGUGCAAUUUUGAAUGGAGCCAUGGGAGCGGAGUGAAAUCAUGGCAGGAUGAGUCAGCUCUGGAAAUGCAGAGACAGAAGUAAGUAGUACCUUACUUAUUGCUUGCAGACGGUGUUGAUGUCUCUGGAGGAAAAGAUCCAGAUGACAGAAACACCUCGAGGCCGUUUUGGAAACUCGGUCAAGAAUAUGAAGUAUGGCUAAUCAGCAAUGAAGGUACCACCAAAUUGGUAGUCUCCUUGAAUAUAUCUGGGAUGAAUAUUGCACCAGCAUGCUAAAAAAUAUUGAUCAUCUGAUUUCAGAUAUUGCUUGUCUUUAGUAAACAAGUUUAUUCAACAUACUGCUUCAAAAUCAAUGACGGGAAAGAUUUCAAUGUUCCUGUUACACAAAAUGAUUAAUUUGGCUCAUAAGAAUUGCAAAAUGCUUUCAAGGAAGGCUAAGCUAUUUGAACUCCCUUUGAAAGAGGAUCCCCUGUCAGGAAGAUACCUUGGUGCACUCACCCAGAUAGUAGUGCUUAAGUUACUAAUACAAGUUUGUUUUCAGUGGAGUCUAAGUGUAACAUAUGAAUACUCAAUUUCUAUGUGCAAGCAAACCCAUCAGUGCUUAACUUUGAUAAAAGACCACUGAUCAGACAGCAUUUAUAGUCAGCUGGACGUGAGUUUCAAGUGUCUUUAAUCAAUAGUUUUAUUACAACAAUGGAUCAGAUGUCUAUGUAAUGUGAAGAAAUCAUUUGUGGUAGCCAGGCUGCAGCUCUAAGAAGCUUUCCAGCACCUCUAAGAACAUUGAUUUAGUUUCGAAAUACAAAGAAGCACUUGAGCAAGAAAAUAUUUAGGUUUGCUUUUCAACAGAACAUUGUCAGCUGUGAUGAUAGCGGUUGAAAUUAUAAAAACUAAGACAAAAUAAAUGGGUAUGUAUUAGGGCUGGGCGAUAACAUGAUAACGAUAUAUAUCAAAAAUGAAUUUCCCUCAAUACCAAUAUAAAACAUGGUCAAUAUGCUUUUUGAUAGUCAGCAUUCUGCCAUGUUUUGGUAGACUAUACGAAUAGCCAAUGAAAAGGGGAGUUGCUUUGCGCUUAACCAAUCGUGCUGAAUUAAAACCAAGUAGCUAACAACUGCGUAGUAGCAGGCUGCAGCUACAGGCAACCAUAGCACUUUAACACGUGAAGCUGACAGCACUGUUGAUAAGAAAAAAAGAAAAUGAGUGCUACCCCCCAGCAGAAAUGCAGAUGAAGGCUCAACAGAUGACGACAUCGUCAACAACACUGGCAUGAAAACGUCUUGUGUUGUGGAGGUAUUUUGGUUUUUUGAGGUCAGACAUGAAGGAGAGUAAUGUGCACUGCAAAUUAUGUGGAGUACAUGUUCUUGCAAAGUUGGGGAGUACCUCAAAUCUUUUUCACUACCUGUAGCAGUGCCAUGCGGUAGAGCAUGCAUAAUGCGGUUAAAGGUUACAAACCCUGAGUGGACCAAGAAGCCCAUGGCGCCUAUGCAGCAGAAACAGCCGACGAUUCAGUUUGCUUUUUCUAGCGCAAUGCCCUACAACAACAAAACGUCUAAGAGACAAAAAGACUCACAGAUGCAGGAGCUUAUUGUAUUGGAAAAGACAUGCUACCAAUAAGCACUGUUAAAUUUCAUUUUAUACCGAUAUCACCUGAUAUGAAAAAAAUAUAUUGUGACAAACUUUUUCCCAUAUCACCCAGCCCUAGUAUGUAUACUGUAUAUAUACAGAGAGCACAGAGCGCUCUGCAGGGGUUAAAGACAUCAGCAUAAACAGACAAAAUGGUUAAACAAUAAAACUGAGGUCUUCUCCCAACCAAAAAAAGUGUCCACAAUAUUUUGGGGGGCUUUUCCAAACACAACACAGCAGGUUUAAUAGACAAAGCUGCGGACACCAUUUUUUACAGUCUUUUCCCCAGGUCUCUUCCACAGCUCUCCUUCCUCCCAACAUCAACACAUCAGUCAUGAUCAUUGAUUGGGUACAACUAUGUAGUCUGUCAUAUCUGUCCCUAUGUCACUGCGCAGAUUUAUGACAAAGAGAUCUGUCACAGUGACCAUGGGAACAGACAAAAACACUGUGUAGUCUGACCUUGGCAAUAGUACAGUGCUAUACUGUUAAUUGUCUUGCAAACCACAAAUUGCAUUUGACAUUUAAAGUCAAAUUGCAUUUGGAAAAGUUGAUAUUAACACAGUAAAAACAUAGUCACCCAAUAAUCAAAAUUCAUCCAAGACAGCUGGGAUCCAAAUAUAUCUAGCUUGUACAGGCACAGCUCCCUCACUGCCAAAUAAGGGGGAAGGGUUGUGAAUUGUUGCAUUCACAUGUGGUUGAAAAGAGGAGUUGUGGGUAAAAGACCUGUGAUUCUCUUCCAACACUUCACCACAGGAGCCAUUUAAUUAUUUUGUAUCACAUCAUCUCUUGAUGAUUAGUAUGCUAUUGAGGAAACAGACUGAUGGUGAAUGUGCACCCUAAUAUACAGUGUCAGCUUUUGCAUCAGUUAUGGAUAAUGGAAGUUUUGUAUUCAGUGGAUUUAAUAUAAUGUAAAAAUCCUCAGAUGGAAGCUCAGCAGCAAUAUUAUUCCACACUUUAAUGAGUUGUGAAAGGUUUCAUUUGUGGUGACCAGACUGCAGCUCAGAGUAGCUUUUUACCAGCCUUUAGGUCACCGGUUUAGUUGUCAGGUAAUUAUGAUCCUUGUGAUCCACUAAAAGAGUUGGGCCCCGGUUUUGUCUACAGAUGGCAUCCUCUUGGUGUUUAAAGAGGAUAAAGAGUUGGAUAUUUUCCUCGGGAGUCGGUAAAAGCUGACGACUUCAAAAUAACGUUAUUUGUGCUGUGUACUGCUGCAGUAAACAGUCUAUGGUUGAUUUAAUUACGCAUUUACUUAUGUAGUUAUCGACUAAUUACAAGGGUCAGUGCACGUUGAUGAACUUGGGCAUGUAAAUGCACCAGAUUGUAUCCAUGGGCUUUUUUUCUAUCAGUGGCCCUCAGCAGGUUGGUGGUAAAUAUUUAUCAAUGUGCAUCAAGCAUGUGCAUGGAAAAACAAACACAUCUUUGUGAAAUUGUUGUUAAUUGAUGAAAAAUCUCCUGUUGUCUUUUUAGAUUGAAAUUUAUCACAUUGUUGGUGGAAAGUCAGCAAGACUGUUUUCUAUGAAUAUACCCACCCUCUCAAAGCAGUUACAUGCAUUAGGAAUUACAAUGUUUUCAUUAGCAGUCUUGUUUGCCUCUGUUAAAACCCAAUCAAAAUCUUCCCUCAAAAGAGCUUUGUGGGAGGUGCCCGAGUGUUAAAGUCAUAGACUGUAUAUGGACAACUUGGUUCCACCUUCUGCCAGUGUAUGGAUUUAAAACCAAAAAGCUCUCUGUAUCUCUGUGAUUUUUCUCUAUUUCCUGAAACCAACAUAGCGCGGUAGCGUUGUAUGCACUACACCACUUGUGCAGUAGCAUUGUAUGCACUACACCACUUGCGCAGUAGCAUUGUAUGCAUUUGGCGGGAGAGUUGCCCGAGAGUCGCUGUGAUGACGCUCGGCUUAAACAGCGUAUGUUGGUGUGUUGCGUGUGAAAGUAAAGGUGUCUAAGUUAAGUACGCAUGUUAAUCCAAGGUGCUGUUGUUCAUAAAUCUACAUAGAUCUGUUGCACAUAACUGGUAUAUGCAGGUAAGUUAAUACUUAUACGACUGCUCAGGAACAGCAUAAAUGGGUUUACAUAUACAAUAUUGCAUUUGAGUUGCAAACAUAUAUCUGUGUAUGUGUGCUUACUGGUGUCUGCUUAGACCUUGUCACAAAUCUGCUGUGUUCUGAGCGACGCCUCCAGAGGAUCUGUUAAAGUUGUUAAGCUAUAGAGUAUUGCCUGACAGAGAGGGGUGGUCUGCUUCAUAAUGUGUUCCCUUUGAACAAGGCAACAUUUUGGCCAAAGGCAUAACAUUUAUAGGGUACUUCAUCACCUCUAUCAGUGGCUCUUGUGAACCCCGCUGAAGAGCCACUGAUUGCUUUCUAAUUGAUGUAAUAAUUUAGUGGAGGUGGUGCAAGCCCAUGGAGAACUUUAUAUGUCAUACAGGUAAUUUUAAACCUAUGGAAAUUGCCGAAGCUUAACAGCUUGAUAUUUAGGGGGCUGUUACAGUAGUGAUAUGAAAAGGGUUUUUUGCUGAAAACUGUCAACCCUUUUGGACAGAGAUCCAGUGAGUUUCCUGUGCUUCUGUAAAUUAACUUGUAGUUACUGAUGCUUUUCUUUGUCUGUCACAAUUAUCCAGGGCUUUUUUUUACAUAUUAAAAAGAUACUUUUUUUUUCUUUAAAAGGGAUCUUGACCACUUGGGCAAGGGGUCCUGAGUCUACCUUGGGAACCACUGCAGUAGUCAAUAUGCAUGAAUAUAACUGAAUGUAGUGACUUAGAGCAGCACUUAAAUAUGAAACUCAUGUAAAUAGGUCUGCACGAUAUAUCAUUUGAGCAUUGUCAUUGAUAUAAAUGUGUGCGUAAUUGUCACACUGCAGAGCCUGGGAUGAAGGAAGCGAAUAAACUCAACUAAUUUCAAGGGUAGCUGACUGACAUACAAUGAAAAGACUCUUUAAUAGCAGACAAAAAGAGACCAGAGGAGGUGGUCGGCAAAGGUCUUAGUGACUUGACCCAAGAGUACCCCACAAUUAAAAAUACCCCUGUAGACUCAACCACUGUUCUAGUGGCUGGCAGGUUGUUCAAAUCAGAUAGAGCCACACACUGGCAUGAAACUGCACAUUACUGAAUGCAGUGGGCGUAUAUGCAAGAGGCCAAUUUAACUUUUUCUCCCAAAACAGACUUCGUCUUUAUACCAGUGCAACUUAUAAUUCAGCUUCUACAAUCGUGCAAAAUGAAAGGGAGAGGAUGUUUGAUCCUUUUUUAAAAACCCUUACAAGUCAAAAGAAAAUCUAGAUCUAAAGGGGUUGAAGACUUUAAAGUGUUUUGAUGAUGAGUGUGUGUACUGGAACAGAGACAGGUGAUGGUUUUAUGUUGAUUUUACAGCUGUUGUUGUACCUUUACCAGCAAAGCCAGAGAAUCAGCAGAAAAUUGCAGCUAUUGUGCAAAGGCAACAGAGAGCCCUGGACAGACGGAGUGAUGUUCAAUGCCAAAUUGGCAGAUUUGUAUCGAUAUUUCCCUUAAGUGUGCUUCCCUCCAUGUUUUGCUACCGCUGAUGUCAUAGAGAGCUAUUAAAUUACCAGUUUGGUGCAGGGAGGAAAAUACCUGCUCAUUCAAACUGUCACUUUACAAGGUCACUGAGCUGGAUCUGCUCAGCCACAAAAUUAAGGCCCUCGGUAUCAUGAAAAUUAAAUUGACAGGAAAUUCAUUCGUUAAUGAAACAGACAAAAGAACUAAUCGCUUGUUAUCUUAAAUGUCGCCCUUAGCGAUUCCAAAAAAUACACCCUCCAUCUCUGGCUUUCUUUCAGCUAUAAUGAAGUCUCUCAUUCAGUUGAGUGAUCUCACUUUCAGAAGCACUUUUUUCAAACACACCUAAUUGGACUUCACAACCUCUCACUGUCGAUCUUGUCUAAUUAAAGGUCUCUCAUUCUUCCUCUCACCUCGUGUGUCUAGUACUCGUCAAAUAAAGGUCUCACUCGCUCCCUUUCUUCUUUCUUCCUACUAAAUAAACUCACUUCUUCUCUUCUCCUGCAUCUACGUUAUAAGUAAAUUAAAAACAUUUAAUUGAGUAUCACUCUCUCUUUCCCCGACUCCCGUUAAGCAUUCAAUCUGCUCCUUCAACACAUCUCUCACCUCAGUUCCCACCUAAGUUUCCUUCUUGUUUACUUCCUCCCCGUAGCUCCAAAGCUCUGUUUUGGAGCUGAGCCCAUUCCUUUAGAUGUUUAAGAUCUCAGCAUCUCGUCUGCUUCCUGUAUCACCGCUGAAAUACUGCUGGCCUCUCGCGGGGCCACUCUUUUGUUGCCCUACACAUAUGGGACACAAAUCUGUUCAAUGAGGAAAGCUAGAGCAUCAUCUCAUCUUCUCCAUAGUCUGUCCCUGUUGUGCAGCUUGCACAACAACAGAGUGAAUGUGAGAUAUAUUUUUCUUUCAAUAUUACAUGUUGAGAAAUUCUGUAAUUGUAAAUAUGUCUUCUGACUAGGGCAGGGUAACAGGGACAUUUACAAUCAAAGCUUCUUAUAAAUGCUGCAGCAGAGUCUGCGCUAGAUUUACCUCUGUGUGAUAAUCAGAAUGUGAAGAGUCCUACAACAUUAUGCAUUUACAAAUUUGCAUGUCUCUAAUCACUGUGCUUUGUUAUCAAAAAGUUACAGAGUGAUACAAUGAGGCAGAACUCUUGUUUCUUAAUAAUAGUCUUCUUUUUUUGUUUGUGCAUGAAAAAAACCAUACUAUGAAAUUUGGAUACUUAAGGAGGCAUUGCAAGCACCAUUUAAGAUUUGAUUCUGUAAAAUAGCAUCUUUAUAGAGAUACUUUUCAACAAUCAUAGUGUUUCAAAAAUGCAUUUUUCCACAAGGUGUCUUUACUCCCCUUUAAUUGAUAACACAUAGAGGGUUUUUUAUCUGGUUAUUUAACAGACAAGGCUCUCCAUGACGAUGAUGACAAUCACUAUCUUAUUAUUUUUAAUGCCUGAAACAGCUGUGAGAGGAUAGGUGUGAGACAACAUGCUGAAGAAACAGCCUUGUUUUUUUUUUCUUUAAACCACAGCCCAUAUUCACUGUGAAUGAUAUAAUUGGCUGUUAAAAAAAAACAGGAUGAGAUUUUUCUUUAAAAAAACACCACUUAGGCAUGCUCACAACAAAAUCUGCAAUGAGAUAAGAGGUGUUGUUUUGUCCACAGGGGGCGCCAAAAUUGGUGCAAACAGGAAAUUCCUCCCAGGAGUGCUCAGUAAGAGAGUGGGUGGUUAUGUUAAAAGAGUACCCUGACAGGGUGAGACAAGACCAGGAUGUGAUGAUCCUUUAAUACUUUAUGCAGGUUGACACCAAGUAAUGGCUUGAAGAUUAUUUAAAUGGUCUAAAAAUUAAUUAAUACAGUUUGAAUAAUUAGUCCCUCUGACUGUAUUUCCAAUACAUCCUCCAAUUAAACUCGACUUUUUCAUCCAAAGUAAACUCAAAACAUUUGUGAUCAUCCAUCGGCAUUAUAUGCAGAUGCAGAAGGUAACAGUAGCCCCUUGAUAAAGUUCAUCUUGGUAACUUUUACACUGGCAUUUUCUCUUUACUGAAUACUCCUUAACACUGCCAAAACUCAUACCGUGUUGUGGUUUGUGGUUGUUUUGUGUCUGUUUGGUUGACUUCUCUUUCACUCAGAUACUGACCCCUGUGUGUUUUAACAUCCCUCUUUAGCUUCUGUUUUGUUUUCUCUCUCUUAUUGACUUUUUUUAUCUGCAGCUAACUUGUCAGCCAUGAGGCGAAAGUUUUGAGCUGUCCAAAUAAAAUUAGAGUUAUAUAGAAAAACAACAGCUCCAUAUUGUUGCUUUCAUGAACUAACAUUUUGUCAGGAAAAGCUGAAGUCAUAAACUUCAUAUAUGUGUGCAGGACUCUUUUCCAAAGAUUGUUUGUUUGUUGUGCUGUGUGGGGUUGAAACUUUGUUGAGGACAAAUUGUACAAAAUUAUAAUGAGGUUUUCACCACUCACAAUGAAAUUAUUACCGUAACUGUGCAAUAAACCAUUAUGGAGCGCUUUUUAAUGCGGUCUUGCAAGACUUGUUGGCUGCAGGAAAAGACGACUUUCUUAAUGUCAAAAAACAAACCGUCACUAAAUUUCCUAUUGUUGUCAAAUGAUGUUAUCAUGCAGGAUAUGAUGCUUUGAAGUUAUUGUUGUCCCACCCAAGUGUCACAACCUGGCUCUAAGAGGGAGACAACAUAUGGUUGCAAAGUUUAUAAAAUAAUAUUCAAUGAAAUACGUAAAUGAGUAUCACAAAAUUAUGAAUAUGGUUGUCAGUGUGCAUGCAGUGUUGGAUGUGUGAGUGUAGGUGUAUGAGUCAGCAAAGCAAAAUCUACAAACAAAGAGGCAGUAUUAAUCGGCAGGACAUGGAAAGAGAGAGCGAGAAAGAGAGAGAGCUUAGUAAGCAGGGCUGCUUUAUAGCCUUCUGAACCCAGCCUGCUCAGGUGUGCUGCAUUGAUUAUAGACUCCUCCCCCAUUACCUGCAACAUGAAACUUAGGCAGCAAGGAAGAAGGGUUAAAACAAGGAUAAGACUUCCACCUAGGUCGUAACACGAGUAACUUUAUUGAGGUGAUGAUUGGGCAAAAGGACUUAUAACAAUAGAUAAGCUAUCACUCCACUUUGGUGCUCUGCAUAUGGCAAUUAAUGUCAAACUAAUAGCAAUGAACUGAGUAAUUGUUGUACAGAUAAUGAUUCUUGACACUAAAUUGUCCUCUUCAAAUAGCUUUUAAUCAAAACAUACAUAUGCAGUGAGAACAGAAACACAAAGUAGCAGACGCAGAGGGAAAUGUUCGUGGGUUGCUUGGCAGCAGCCCACACUUCCAGUCAGGACACAGUUGUAACUGCGUUGGUAUUGCAAAGUGAAUCAUUGAUUAAUCCAAACUUAUAAGUGGAAGUUGUUUAUUUUUGUUGAGUUCUGCUUUUAGAACUGCAGUAGUACUGUUAAGGCCCAUCUUUUCUUGCCAUUUGUAUGAAAAUGUACGUGUCUGUUUCAAACAAUGAUUCUGUCACUGCACACAUACUUCCAUGCUUCCUUUACGUUGGCAUGGAUGUUUACCAUUACAUCCACCAGGAGGGAGGCCCGAGUCAAAAGGUUUUGACACAACAAACAAAACGAAACAUGGCGACCGUGGAGGAGUUAGUAAUACUGUAAAUUUUGCAUAGGAGACAGAAACAGAGGCAGCAUUGGAGGAGGCGGUAGUCGGUUGGGCCACUGAAUGCCUCGCAGUUUGAGGAUAAAGAGUUCUUUUCUCUUGUAGUAUCAAUGAGAAAUCCCCGUUCUCUUCGUUUGUCUGUAGAUAUGUGUAUUGGGUAGAGCAGCAACACGGUUUCCGGUGGUACUGCUCGGUGUUGUUUUCGUCAACGCCCCUUUUUUCCACGACGAAGAUGUGAUGUUGACAAGCUAAACAUAAGUCUUAGAUGACUAAAAUGUGAUGAGACGAAUGUGCGUUUACGUUGACGAGGCAAGACUAGAUGAAAACUUUAGUGGUGGACGAUGAACAGAACAAAAUUCAUAAGCAUUUCAUCAGUCAAACGCUAAACAUAUAUUCUGCUGUGUUGUUUUCGAUGACGAUGAUGUAGACAAAAUAUUUUCGUCAACGUCGUCGUCAACGAAAACAACACUGGUACUGCUCCAUCUGGCCGGUAUCUGCAAACUUCAAGGAUACGUGCAGAAAUACAGACGAAAAGAACACGAGGCACAGACGGAGAACUCCGUCUGUAUCCGUAUGUAACACUGAGCAUAAAAGAGCCUUUAGGACUAUGCUGUUAUACUGAAUGUUGGCACAGCUGCGAUUGUGACGAUUAUUCAGUAAAACAGCGUACCCUUAAGUGUGACUUUCCUUUAGAGAUAUCAACUAUUAGUAUGCAUUACAAUAAAAAUAUGGCUCGUUAUGAAUGUGCGUGCCUUAAUACAAAAAGUGUUAAUGAAUUAUUUGUUUACAGCUUUACCUCAAAGGCAGUAUCAAAUCCACUGAUUGCACCUCAGCUACGAGAUAAAUCCCUGUCUGAGCCUUUCACUUUUAGGGGCUUAUUUUGGAGGAUGACAUGAAUCUCUCUGGGUUUGUGCGUCAUGCUGUGGAGGUGUAGGGGGCAUGGUAGGGGGUGGCUGUGGAUGGGGGAGUCAGGAUGUAAUGUCAGGCAGCAGCAUCUGCUCAUGUCCUCUAGCCUGGCUGUUUAUCUCCUGCUGAGCAGCAAGUAUCUCAAGGAAGUAGAUGUAGUCUAUCUGGCUGCCAAGAGCAGAAUUUAACUUUAAAUUUCCUCCCACAGGAUUUAUUGAACAUUGAAGACAGAUUGAUUUUUUUUUGCUGCCUAAUGUAUCGAGCUUCAGUUCCUGCUCAUGCCUCUUUCUCCAAGGAUAAGUUGCUCUAAUAGAACUUUCUUAAAAAACAUUUGGAGGCUUUCUGGUGAAGACAAAGUCAGAAAAAAAAGUCAAUAUGAGCUUCAGCUCUGACAGUUGAACAGUUGGGGACUCGGCUUGCCAAACACUGAAUGGCAGCAGCUAAUCAGUUUGGGGAAAUCAGGACUCAGCUGAUUACAAGUAUCUCUGGAAUUGUUCACCAGAAUUUUCAAGUUCUGUGUGCUUGGCAUUGGUGCAACACAAGGACGAUCACUCAUUACACAGUAUUUAAGGAAAUCUUAAGACACUUUUGAAGUGUGGGUUUAGUUAAAGAGAUUUCUCCACAAUACCUGCUAUUGUUAUAGUAGGAUUAUGGCUCGCUGUUUGGAUUUCCUUGUCUUGUUAUCCACCCUGAAAGUUUUUUUAAAAUGAGCAAAAUGUCCUUAAACGCAAACACAUGCUUGGUGAGCAGAAUGACAGACAAAAACAUCUUCCUACAAUGAGAAAACACAACUCGAAAAUCUGCCUGAAAAAUCCUGCUGUAAUGACAAAAACCAUGUGAGGAAAUUAUAAUUGAAUCUUUCAUCUGUGUGGUGUGACUAAUCUGCUUGCUCUUUUUUUCUAAACUUUUUAUUUUUGGUUAUUUUAUCCAAAAGAAACAUUGUGAAGAAAAAGUUAAUUAAGUCAAAUCAUCAGAUCUCUUCUCCAUGAGUGGUGUAACAACUCGCACAGAUCCAAUAUUUCUCAAUCUUAUCCAUUUUAAGUAUUGAUUGAUUACUUACUGGGUCAACAACUAAAAUAAACAUACAUACAUAUACAUACAAUCUUAGCAUGUCCCCCUGAGGACAUGGAGAAACUACAAGUACCCAACAAUCCUGUAUUUUCACAAAACAACGUGUGCAUCUAUAUUUAGUGUUCCUUUUUUGUAUGUAUUUUUUUAAGUCUGUCUGAAACUGUAUGAUCACUUUCUUUCUCUCAUGUUUGAAAAUAAACAUUUCAAGUUCAAUUUCCUUUAGAGAGUUUGAGUUGUUGGUCUCAGACAACUGUUUUUUUUUUCCCCAAAACUUUCUGCUUUUGCUUUCUACCAAUCAACUCUGCAUUCAUUUAGCUUCUUGUUAAACCGGAAUCCUAUUAGGAGCAGGAAAAUGAAUAAAUGUACCUAAUUAAUCUUUCGUGACAGAUCAUACAUACAAAUAUGUCUGCUUGUCCCACCAUACAGUGCUUCUUCUGAUUUAGGACUUUUCAACCACAAACUAAAUCUUGUUAGAUGCAUGGUACAUUUCUAUUAGUACAAUCUAAUCAAGAGCAAAAGUCAGGUUUUCAGGGUGGCCAUGUUACAAAUGUUGGUUCAAGCAGGUUUAUUAGGGUGAGGUAGAGUGUUCAGCCCAACCUAGCGAGGUUGAGUUAAGUCCAGAUAGGCUUUUCCCCCUGGCUCUGCUUUCCCUGUCCUCUUUCUUUUACCCUCCCCCCUCUCGAAAAUGGGAGGAGAGGAGAAGCUGAGAUUUGAGCCCCAGCCUCAGCCCAAUCAGGGCUUUUCCUUCCCUCCUUUUUCCAACACCUCCCCACUGACUCCUUUCUCUGUUUUUCUCCUCUCUUCUUUUUUUGUUCAAGUGUGGGUAAGGGGGUGGGCAGGCAGUCCUUGGAUGCUAGAGGUAACUGUUGAGACUCCCAGAGAAGUCGUGGGCCUAACUUGAUGAAACACAGGUGAAGAAAAGUGCCCACUCAACGGCCUUGGCGAUGUGCUGUCUCUCGCUGCCCAUCUAUCCUUACCUUCAUGUCUGGAUUGUGGGGGGCCGUUAGGUGCCAUGUGCAGGGGCUAUGAAACUCAUCAUCUCAUCUUCAGAGAAAAGAUAUGGGGUGUUAUUGGGAAGGCUUCUUCGCUAAUAUGUUUUACCCUGUCUGUAACAUCAAGCUCAAAAUGAGUGCAGGGAUAUACAGUCUGAUGCCCAGAAUUCAUCGAUUACCAUAAUUAGUGGAUUUGGAAAUUCAAUUUGACAAUUUAACACCGCAACAUCUAAAAAAACGAAUUUAAAAAAGUCAAUUUGUUAGUUGCCCACAUGACACACUUCACUUUCAUAACGAGACGGUCUUUCACACACGACUUAACCUGUAUUUCCCCCUCUACAUGUCCAAGAUGGAGGCCAUUUCUGAACUCUUCAGCAAUCACAGUAACAGUCAAGGAGAUUUGACAGGCAUGGCAGGUUUCCCACUCUCAUCCCAGAAACGGAGGACACGAACGCAGCAACUUCUGAAGCCAAUUACUUAAGUUUUGCCUGUUUUCUUUCAUUCUCUGCUCACAAGGAAAGAUUGAAUAGAAAAAAGAGAAAACUUCCCACAGUCGUCUUAUCUCUGUAAUAAUGUUGCACAGUCUGCAUGUGUUUUUAUGUGCCAAACCAACUUCUCAUCAUUUAUUCUUUUUUUUUUAUUUUUGCUGCACAUCCUAAUCUCUCUGCGUUUUAACAAAAAAAGGUACUUAGAAUAUCCUUGUUAUUUAUUUAUUUAUUUAUUUUUCUGCAGAAUAGCUAGUUUCUGGGCUGCUGAAGUGUGCCAACGGGGACAUUUACUCAGAGAUUCUUCGCAGUGUUUAGAUAAGACUUUGGAUGCUGGUGACAAAUCAAAUGCAUGUCUGUGGGAGUGUGAGAGGACAGCAAUACAGCCAAUCAUGCAAAGCUGUGCUGCUUCUCUGCCAAAAUGAGAUUCGUAUCAAGAGUGAAUAGCUGCUUUCUGCAAAAGCAGCCCUGAAUAGAACAAAAAUAUCCACUAAAAUGUUUAAGAACACAUAUUUGUGCCAAAUAACUGUGAUCCCAAUAAAAAGGAGAGAAGAACUUUGAAAGUCAGUGAAUUUUAACAGGGAAAAGUGACGCCCACUACUGCAGCACCCACUGCUGUAAUAAGCACAGAGUUAAAACUAAGUAAGAAUAUAUUUUUUGCAUUCACUUUUGAUAAGUGAUACUAAAAAUUCCUGCACAGCCCUACAACAUGUUUUUGUGCAGAGUGUUUGUCAAGUUUUAUUUAUUUUCUUGAAAUUUCCACUUGCAGUUUGAAGUAGAAAUACGAUGUUUGUUGCUCUGUAAUGAAAUGUUCUAGCUGGAGGUCUGUCACACUGUCAGAGGGCUAAAGCUAAAAUGGCCCUUUCCCCGUUCGUUUUUGCAUGUUGGCGUGUUGUUGAUGUAGCCGGAGGGGAUGCAGAGAGAGAGAGCGAGAGAACGGAGGAGGCAGAGCAGGUUGCAUAUCAUCAGUCUGUGUCUUCCAGCAUUGUAACAAACAGUCUCCUAUGGUUCUGUGAGAGUAGUUAAGAAAAUUGUAGCCGUGCCUCAAACAAAUUACUUAUGUCAAAGUGAUCCCAAGACAAAACUGUAUUCCAAAGGUGGAAAAUUGCAAUCUGAUCAGUGCAGGGUGUGCUAUUUUUUGUGUGCUUUUUUGACAAUAAUGGGUGCAAGUAAAUUAGUAGGGAGAUGACACCUUGGUAUGAUAUUGUAUGAAGAUUUCAUUGGCACAUGAAUGGAUUUCACCAAAACAAAACAAGUGAAGCUUGGGGCCUGGAACAAGGUUUUCACUGGAUAACAUAAUGCUUCUGCCUUGAACUUAAAUAUAUAUGUGUUUUUACGAGAGGAGGUGGUAACAGGUCUCUGUGGGACUGACCUCACUGCAAAAAGAGAAAAAAAGACAGAAAAGACAACAACACAGACACUCAAGUAAAAAAAAAAAAAAAAAAAAUCAAUAGCAAAUACAAGGGAAGAUAAACAGAGCAAAAUCACAAACUAAACCACGUCAAUAUUUGCAACAGUUAUUGUAUCGCUGCAUAUUUUAUUCCUUUGAAGAGCGCCUCUUCCUUUAUGUUUUCUGCUCUUCAAAUCUUUCCUUUGUCUCUGCAGUGAAAAUGUGUAUUCACAUCACAAAGUCUAAUUAUACGUAACAAGUGGACUCUUUAUGUCUUCAAACAAGUGCGCUGACAUGCAUCUGCUACCGCGAAUAGAACAAACUCUUUGUUCAUGUUUUAGUUUGUUACAAUCGCCUUUGACGGCCAACUACAAAUAUAAGCAGUUAACAUCUAUUUUAGAUGGCUAAAAAUAAGGACCUGUCUGCUAUUGACGUCACAUUUUUCACUAUUAAAUCUGAUUUUCUUUCCGUGUAUUUUGUAUUUUAAGGCUACUGUGUUUAGAAAUGGGAAUUUUUAGCAACAUCCAGCCGCCAGUUCUAGAUUAAAACGUAACCUUGCUCACCCGCUUACCAGUAAAACAAUGGCGGCCCUCGAGGAGAAGAAACUCCUCUGAUGCAGUAUAAAUAUGAUCCUUCAUUUGACAUCUUUUCACUGUCAAAACCACACAUAUUAAUUAUUUUGUGCACAAUAAUCACUCUCAUCUUCAGCUCUCUGCCAGUGCAAUCCAGUGACAACCAACUUAACACAAAGGUGCUUAUGGCGAAUUGGUUAUCUGGUCUGUGCUCAUGUAGUAGCAGGGUGGUGCAAGAUGGCAGUCACUGUGGCUGUGGACCUGCUCCUAAUGUAGAUAUAAGAGGCUCAUUCUCCAUUGCCAAAAUGAGUUGGAUAUUUUUCCUGACUAUACACUAACUUUGACUUAUAAAUAUCAUAUUCCAUAUCUUCUGUGUCUGUCCUGCUUCUGCAUUCCUGUUGUAAGAUGCACAAGUUGUGUAGUAAGUAAACUGUAUUUAUUAUAGCACCUCUCAUAGAAAAGAUUCAUAGAGUGCUUAACAGUUAAAAAAUGUUAAAAUACAAUCAUAAACAUCCAAAUAAAAUCAUAAAACAGUAACAAACAAUGGCAUAAUUACAAUAUUGUAGGGAGAUGUGAAAAUUGAUGGGACUAUACACACAAAUGAUGCAAAUUUACAUCACAGUGUACCAAAAAUAAGAACUCAAGCAAAUCAACAGUGUGCAAUUGCCAAACAGCAUGGAAAUUCCCUUGUGAUAUUUGCAAACAGUGGACUGGCAGAGCAGUGAUUCAUUUGUCUGAAAAUGGAGAAUAGACCAAUUGUAAAGGUACACAGUUACAACUCAUUUUUCAUAUUCAGUGGGGAAUCAAAAAAAGAUAGCUUUGAGGCAAGUGAGCGAGGAGGUUUGAUCAUCUGGUAAACUGUUUAAACCCAACAUAUACUCACAGUGUGGUCAGUCUGUAACUGGCUGUACAAAGGCUAAAUCUGUCAGUGCAGCUGUUAAUAGCAAUAGCAUAGGGCUUUAGUUCAUCUUUUAAGUCUAUAUGCCAUGAGGUGUUAAGGACUCUGCAACUGUAGGUUACUGACUUACUGUAAUCAUUGGGUAUUUUUUUGUGCUUAUGAAACCUGCUUCAUUUCAGCGAGUGUCCAUUUUUAAAAUCUACCUGAAUACAGCAAUUCUACUUAAUGAUCGGCUGUUCCGUACAUAAAUUUUAUUUGAUUAGUUUGAGCGUGGCACGCAGCUUCUUAACUCUCAGGGGAACUGACUUGAUUCCUACCUGUUCCAUUGUUAAAGAAGUGCAACUUGGUGGACGUCACUGUGGUAAUUUAAAUGCGUGAGAAAUACAAUGUGUGGCGUGUGAGCAUAUGAUAGUGGAAAUGCCUGCAUCACAUGCCAAAUGCUUGAGACUUAAGAGCCCUACCAACAUGACAUGGAGGGACCUCUCUUUUCUUGCAAUCACAUGCCUUUGGAAACUCCUGCACAUACGAUACCCACAAAAAGAGCAAGUUAUUCAAGAAAAUCAGGCAAGUAAAUGCACAACAGCCAAGCAUCUAGAUACAUAAUUUUACAGCCUUUUUUUCUCUUUCCAAAGGCAAUGAUGCCAGAAAACAGUGAGAAGUUUUUUCCUAUUUUUUGGGACAACAGCCACAGCAUAGCUGCUACCUCACUGAUGACUGCUUUGUAAGAAAAAGCCAGUACACGCUGGAUUCACGUCCCAGCUAUUACCGAAACAUGCUGUUCUAUCUAUAAAGACCCUCUGAGUUGGCUCACAAUCACAAACUCUAAGUAACAUUAUAGCAGCCAGCAACAUAACAACAGCUAACUGCUAAUAGCUUUAAUGGGGAGCUAAUGGCCAGCCUGUUUCUGUUAAAGCAUAACUUUUUGGUCAUUUCAUCAGUGCAAAGCUGUGUAAAAAGUAACACCAAACAGUGAUUAGCUUGUUGUAACUGGUAAAAACAGCCAGGCGGGGUGUCAGACGGGUCAAUAAAAAAACAGACUGAGGAAACAGCUGUUCACAUUUUCUGAAACAAAUAUUCAUGUUAAUGGGUAUGUUUGACUCUUAAAACAAAGCAGGAAAAGAUUUUCCAUCAGAAAGCUACCCACAGGAACAUUUUAGUAGAUUUCAGUCAGUCUGGGCAUCAUUGCGGAAAGCGAGCCAACAUGAAAGAUAACCACUGUCUUGGUUGAGGUUUGGAGAAAAAUGUCCCAUAGCCAUUUCUAAAAACCCAGCCGGAAGGGACUUAAUAUCAUUUUCCAGUUUAUGCUUCAUCUCUGGGUGUUUUAAUCCCUUUAUCAGGCUGUCAGCAGCACAUCCUGUAACCCCAAAGAUGACAAGGUAAGGUGAGCUUCACUCCUGAACGAUUUUGAAGAGUGUACAUGCUCAUGUUUUUGUUUCCUGACUUUACUAUGAAGAUUUUUAUGUUUUCUGUUCAGAAGUGUUGACUUUAUACAGCUGUUGCUACCGCUGACUAUAAACAUCAACACUCAGGAGCAACCAGAGAGACAACUCUGUCUGAACUGAUCACUAUUCAGCAGAGGUUUAUGUUGACUCGUGCUAAAGAGACUCGCUGCUAUACUCAUCUAUCAGGAAAGCUAAAAUGAAUGCAUGAAACAACCAGCCAAACAACCCCAACCUUUCCUUUUCUCUGCUUACUCCGCAAAAUAGGUUUCUCUCUGUGUUCUCUAGUAGAUAAAGGAGAUAACGCUUUAUUUAGACAUUUUGUUGUUUCCAAAACAUUGUUUUAUUGUUGUAUUUUUUUGUUUCUGCAUACCUGCCAAACUGAAUACCUGUUUUGAUGCAUAGAUAUGCAGGGCCUUGUUUUUUAAAGUUAAAGAACAUAAUGUUGUAUGCUAAAGGUUGUCUUGCAGAAAAGGAGAGAAGGUGAAAACAUUUAGAAUACAGGGCUUACUUGAAUAGUUCUGCUUUUUAGGAGGCACUUUUUUAAGUGACAGAAUAAAAUUUUGCAACAACUAUGUCCUAAUGACUUUUCGUUUAUUUCAGUGUGCUGAAGCUGGCUACUUAGCCCUUAGCCUCCAUUAGGUUUCCUAUAGUAAUAAUAAUAAUAAUAAUAAUAAUAAUAAUAAUAAUAAUAAUAAUAAUAUAUCAUUAUGAUAAACACAAUAAUAACAAUAAUAAUGAUAAUAAUAACAAUAAUUUGAAAUAAAAUACCGAACCAACAUGUUUAAAUGACUCAGAUGCUGUAAUGAGAUGCACCCAGGUGCCCUGUACAUGAGAGAGGCCAGCUGCAUAUAGACCAAUAAGUUUGAUGAAUUGUUGAACUAAGGCCAUGAUGACUGUCCCCUCAUAAAGAUGUCUGUAAAACUUUGCUCAAAUUGAUUGAUGGCUGGCACUAAUAAAGUUACAGUCUAUUCUCUUUCCCAUCAGCCUGUCACGCUACUUGUCACCUGUCAAUUUUUCAUUCGCCCCGCUGGCCUGUCAAAGCUAUAAUCCUGGAGCAAAGUCAUCCUGAGCCACCAAAAGGUAACUACUUAAAUACUCGCUUUCAUGGGUAGAUUACAUAUUUCUGUCAAAACCAUUUCCUGUCUUUCUUUGUAGUACAUACUCUGUCAAUUAGGCCUGAGGCACAGGAGCGUUAACUUGACAUGUAAGGGGAAAUGCAAAAUGAACAGCCUGUUGUUAGCAGAUUAUUAUGCUGCGGUGUUGAAUACUCAAUGCUGAUUGGCCAAUUUACACAUUCAUUGGUCUGCUAUUUCUUUACAGAAGACCACUGACGAGAACAAACUGACUGUUCAUGGGAAAACAGAUUCAACCACAGACUUCGGAGGUCCAUCUUAGAAAAUGCAUACAGCACCUGCAGUAAAUGUUUGGUAAAUUUGUUCCAUUUUCAUGGGUUAACUGAAAGUAAACAUAGGGCAGCAAGCAGGUGAGUGAGUUAUACGCUAUAAUUUGAUUCAGGCACAAGAAGUGAACACCAAAGAGAGCACUAAAUAGGAUGCAACAUUGCCUGCAGACCUAAAAGAAGACGUCUACAACUCUGUGCACUUACAUCAGGUGUUUUUGUGAUUUGCAUGAAUUGGUUCACGUUGUCUUACAAAACAUGAGUAUUUUCGCUAAGUUAUAGCUGCUAGUUGUGCUGACUUUAAACAUAAUUUUAUUGCUAUAUAUGAUCACAGCUGUUCUUCCAGCAAAGGGCUUUUCUCAAAGUGGCAGUCUGCUUUGCAGAGGUUACUAUUCACAAGAGGUUCAUCUGCUGUAACAACCUACUCACUGUAUAUUUUCUGCUUACUUCACAGCAAUUUGCUUAAUAAAUCAAUAAUAUGACUUUAAAACACUGGCUGCUGAUUUCAAAGGAUUACAUUUCUUCUACUAGAGAACCAGUCUCUUGUACUCUUGACUCUUAUAAUUCAGCUAUUUCCUUUUCAUUCAAUUUUUUUUUUUCUGGACAACACCACUGAUGAGGAAGUAUACUUUGGUGAAAUGGUACAAACAACUACCGCUGCAUCUGGGUUUUUUUGCCUCAUCACCAUCAAAGUCUGUUGACAUUUUCUUUUCUAUAAAUCAGUUUUUAAAUGCUCUUAUAUCCCAGACUGUUAUCUGUGUAGUGUGUACUUCCACUGCCCUCCUUAACUCUGCUGACUCCCCUGCAUUAGCCAGCACCUAUUGUGUUUUUAUCUCUGCUAAUUUUGUUUGUUUUCUAUUAUUCUCUCUCAAACAAUCAGACAUUACAUUUUACUGACUGUUAUUCAUAACCAGUGUGUGACUGAGAAGCUGAAAUUGACGUAUCAGAAUAGAGAAAGUAACAGAGCAGUUGAGGAUGCGCCUCUUUGACUUUCCCUGAUAGUACUAAUCUUUAUGACAUCCAAAAGCUCCAAAAUUUUAGUGUUAGGAACCUUAUGGCCUUGUUACUGGGUAAUGUAUAAAGUAAGACAGGGCUGACAGCAGCAACUCAAUCAGCCGUCAAACAGGCAACACAGAGCCAUCAUGCAGCCAACAACACACAGCCUGUGAAAAUACAAUGACAGAGCAAGCUGCAGCAAGCAUGCUGCCAGUCUGAAACAGCCCUUAUGCUCACAGUUUUAGCACAUCCAUAGUAAUCUUAAAAUGAGAGUGUGCUUGCCAUAGUCACACUCUGCCAUUAAGAAAUAGCAGACUGUUGCUAUGGUGUUUAUUAAGUAAUGACCUAUCAGAAUCAAGUUCUUUAUACAGCCACAGAUUAAAAAAUAUACAGCUAUUAGGGAGAUAGAAUUUGUAUUCAACACAGCUGUGGAAUAGGAGUAAUAAUAUUAAAGGUAAUAAUGCCAAUGACAGUCCACAUGAUGCAAAGUCCUGAUAGAAGUUACUGAAAUUGAAUUUUGCAAAGCACUGUUGAGAUUGAGAUGAUUAAUGGGUGAUUAGAAUACAGAGGUUAUUGCCCCACAGCAAAGCAACCACACUGGACUGGCCUGCUCUGUUUGUCCUUUGCUGUAGAUUGCACAUUUCCAAUAUCAGAGGGUAAUAAACUCUGUUUGUGACAUUUCCAGUGGGCCAGUUAUUUUGUUAUAGACUGACAGCCUGUAACUAUUCCGACACAGUCACUAACCUUUUGUCGAACAUGUGCACCCAAAUCAUGUUUUUGACCUUUCCCUCAUUUUACACAUUCUGACAGUCACAGCUUCACUCUGUCAAUAUUCAGUCUAAUUUGGAUACUUCUGUAUCUUUCCUUGUAAAUUAAGCCACGCAAGCCUCCCUUUCCUCCCUAUUGUCCUUUCUGUAUUGAUUUAAUAAAACUGUCUGCCUUUUUGUUGUGAUUUUUUUUGUGCUAUUUUUGUGUUUGAUAGUACUCAUUGUGCAUCAGCUGCCCUUCUAGUUUGAUUGCACAGAGUGGACUAUGAUCACUCAGAUGAAAAACAAAGGCAGUGAAAAUGUGAAAGCUGUUAGUGAAAUAAUACAUUGUAGUCAGACAGCAGACGCCUUUGAAAAAAUAGAUACCUUUUGCUUGUCUGUCAGGAGGACCUGAGAGAUGAUUGUUAAACCUCAUCACGGAGAGCAUUUGUUUACGCAAAUAAAUACUUCCAAACCAGAGGCAGCCUCAAGGCGGAGUUGUGGUAUUGUGUCUGAGAUGAAAGGGGCAAACUCUUUUGCCUCGAGAGAUUCAAACUUGGCCCACAGUGGGCUGUUCCGCUGUAAUUAAUUCAGCUCAAUGUGUCAGUAUUUUGGAGAACUCUCCCUAUCAACAGCGGAUGAAUUUGUAAAAACUUUUUAAACUCUAUUUAUGUGCACUAAGGUUUGUUAAACCUCUUUUUUUUUAAAUUUCUGAUUUUGCUGCUACUUCUGCGCUCUCCAAGUGAAUGAAGUUUGGUUUGAAUUGCUUUUUUUACAUGCAUAUUCAUGAGAGCCUGGUUUGUGUCCUUCCAGCUACACAUUCAGGCAUAUGGGGCACUGAAUAGUCUGUUACAUCACACAGAGAAGACAAGUUGCCCAGGUUUUCAUCUUUAAGCUCCAUAACAACAUUUCUCUUCCUGGCCAUGGUACCUUUUUUUUUUCUUUUUCUCACAUUGUGCAGAAUCUGAGCUCUGCUUUUCAAUGCAUAUAACCAUGAAUCCUUUCACAUGUUUCACAUGUAUCCGUCUGAGGCAUAAAACGUCUUUUUUCUGCUUUGUUUGGAUGACACAUAAUGAUAGAUUUCUUACCUAAUGGUCCCGGAUUGUACAGAGUACUUGAAAGCCGGUUGGAGUGCACAGAUGGCUCAGAGAAAAACACUCGCUUCCACUUCAGAAACUCAGGCUCAGUCCCCAGUUUGGGUACCCCUGGCUUGGUUGUGCCAAUCCAACAAACACAAUGUUCACUUGUGGGGAAAUGAAGAGGGAUCAUGUCUUUGUUGUUUGAAAAGCAGCUCCUUCCUGUUGGUGCAGGAAGUGCAGUCAUGGGGAUUAUAUCAACUUUUUUGUGCAUGCUGUAGCUGCUCAGCGGUGGUGGCAAAGAGAAUGGGUUGGCCACAUCAUCUGUAUCUGAGUGGAUGGUAGAAUAUGCCGAGACAAGCACUGGUGGGAAUUGGUGAAACCAAACUGGGGAGAAAAAUGGAAGGAGGGAGGGGAAAUUAAUAAAGUGUGCUGGAUGCUGUGACAGCUCUGUCUUUUUUGUGUGCACUGUGCAGUUAUGUACUAUGUGUGCAUCCCAGGUCAUCAAAUAUCGAUGCUCUGUCAGACCUCCUUGGCAUCUCAAACAGAUGCACAGUGCAGCAGUACUGCAUGUCUUGCAGAGGCAUGUAACAGACUCUAUUUUCUCCCCUGUCCAGUGUGGGGUUAAAAUAGGUUAAGGCAAAAUAAUUCAUGGUGUGGUUGAGGUUGCGACAUAAACUUUGGGAUUCACUCUGGGCACCUAGGUGUACCUCUCGCUUACCAGUGUAGGGGUCUCAUAAAGUCUAGUUACUGCUUUGCCAUUGUGUAACUAGUCCCAGUUUUUCUUGGUGUCUAUUGUUAUUGCAGGGAGGUUUAAUUGGUUCUUGCCAAGGUGUAAAUAUGGCAAUUUGGCAGUUGUUUAGCUGGCUUGGCAAAAGUUUCAAUGGACCUGCCAGUCAAUUCACCCAUUCCUGAAUUCAAUUAAAAUACAUUAGUUAUUGAGGACAGAGUUUGAAAAAACACAGUAGGUAUUGGGAUUGGUAAUGAAGAGUUAGUUUAGGGACACUAUAUAUGAACCUACUUUUCAUAAUGCGUCAUAAACAUAUUUAUAACAUUUAUUUAUGAAUGGAUCCAUUUUGACUUAGGAGGGAUAAUGAGCUUUCGUAACUGCCUGAAGUCAUUUUUGUGAUGUGUUGCACUUUAAAAAUACAAUAUAUAUGGUGGGCGAAUUUUUUCAAUGACCCAUUUGAAGAUGUGGAGGUUAAAAGUUCUGUACAGAUUUAGUUAUUAGAGGCAUAAUUGAUUAUGCUCCUCAGCUCCAUCUCUUUGUCUUGUUUAGGUUGAUCCAAAAUUUGGUUGAGUAAGCAUCUUCCAUUUGGGGACCUUCAUUGUUCCGCUUCGAAACACCCACUCAAAAACCAAUGGGUGAUGCAAACACGUUUUUUACAGCCUACGUUGAAGCCAGCCUUGCAUGGACACUUGCGGUAUCGCGGGUUUUUAUACACCUGCAUUGGCUUUAAAGGGUUGCUGCUUGAUUUGGACCUGUGCCUCCAAUGUUGUAAAAAAUUUAAUAGUAUUGGUCAUCCAAGGUUGAAAUUAAUGAUAAUGUACCUCCAAAGUACCUGAAAACUACCUGAAAAAGCUUGUGAUAUUAUUUAGAUAUCAAGGUGGUAAUGAUAAUAUAAUUGAAAAUAGCUCAGAAAAUGAGUAGGUGUACUGACUUCAGGGAUAAAAUUUUAUGAAUUGAAUCACUAAUUUAUUUUGGACUCCCCUUUAAAAAUAAACCUGUCACUAUUUUAAUGCCCCGGUGUGAUGUGAGUGAAGUGCAGGGUAAUCUAAUGCAAAUGUGUAUGUCUUGUUGGCAAGCGUGCAGCCUCCUGUAAUAGCCCUGCAGUGUUGGUUUUGGCACAGCAGCAGUACAAACAUGUUGCGGUGGAAGAGGCUACUUCCACUGUAAUGUAUUUACUGUCUAAUUUGUGUCUCAGUGAGAGACCAUAUAUCCUGUUUAGGGAGUGACACCUCUCCUCCUCCACUUUAUGGAGCGGUGCAGGCAUUUGAUGGGGACUUGAACAUGCUGUGCUGAUGGAUGAGCUUGUCAAAGCAGCCCCAUGAUGCUCUGCUCCCCACAGAACGCACCAGGGCUGGAGAAACUCAAUCAUAUGGAAAGGCAUCAGAGGAAACAUAGUUCAUAACUCAUUCGUAACACCUGAAAAUAAUCUUCUUAACAGUAUAUGCUUCACUUGUGAGGAUCGGCUCACAGUUUAUGGCAGGUUAGAGUGUCAACUUUUAUAGUAUAGUUUAAAACAUGACAUUUGGCAAAAAAAUGCUAAUUUAUUGCGUUGUGACAGCUGAUAAACACGCCUAAGGUUGAGGCUGUGCAUUUGUCAACAAGCUGUUUUUAAAUCAUGCUGUUUGUUGCUCACAUUUAUCCCUCUCUUUUCCUGCUCUGCUGCCAGUUGUACAAUUUUGAGCACUGUUCCUCUAAUGUCAAAAAUUCAGCUCCAGUCUGAGAGUUUGAUUCCCUGAGGCAGAAGUUCUGAAACGCUGACAGGUGUUUCAAAGUGUUCAAUUUGUGGAUGUUCUAAAACAAAUUCUUGAAACAUUGUGCUUUAAUACAUCUCUUUGAGUGACUUUCGGCACUAUUUCCGUGCCUCUAUUUUUGCUCUGCUUUUUUCACAAGAAUAAUUCCAAUCAACAGCAAUCCUCAGUAAAGCCUAAAGCUAUUCAAAGGGGCUGAAUAAUUGACAUGAAGUAGCAAUUUCAAAUUAUACCUGCUAACUAUUACUGUGCCCAUGUAUAACUUGAAAUUGAGUUGGAUAUAUUUGAAGACCUGUGUCUGUAGGGGGUUUGAGGCAUCAUUCUGCAGCAUGAAAAAGUGCUGCUGUUAAUGUUACCUGCAUAAACAGCAAACCUGAGGCAAGCUAGCAACAAAGGUGGUGCAUACUGGUUGGUAAUUUGUCCCUGUUGACUGCAGUAGCUGAGGCAAUAGGUUAUUUUAUUUUCCAAAAGUACACUCAUAUAGUGCUGUUCAAAAUACAGAAUACAGAUGGAUGACAUGACAACCCCGGGACUCGGAUAAAUGCAAGAUGUUCCAGAGCUGCAUCUUUGAUUUUCAGUUGUUUUGUUUAUUUUUUAGUUUUAUUUUUUUCCCAACUGAUGGGCUGUAAAUGUACCACAUCCUCUUUUUUGUGCUAGACAUUAAGAAGUAAGCUAGUGUUAUUGUUCUUUCAGGCAAAAUUGACAAUGAAUGUUCGGUAACACUUUCUUUGAGGCCUAUCUGUAUUACUCAUUAUAGAUAUAUUUAUAAUGCGCUAAAAUCACAUUAUAGCACUGUAUAACUAUAGUCAUAAACACUCAUACAUGAUCAUGCUUUAUUGCAAUAAUCAUAACACAUUAUUAGGCAUUUUAUCAUGACUUACAAGGUCAGGUAUUAUAAUGUUUUAUACCUGUUAACAGUUGCAUAGAUAGAUAGAUAGAUAGAUAGAUAGAUAGAUAGAUAGAUGGGAAAAUGCAGAAUAAAUAUACUAAAUAUAUACAAUACAGAUUGAAUAUACUAAACAUCCUAGGAGAAAAAAGUGAGAUAUGAAAAAAGUGGGCUAUUAAAAUGAGUAAUAAAUAUGAUAUGAGUAAUAAAUAUGAAAUGCGAAAUAUAUAGAUGGGGUGAUAAUUAAACAAACAAUCUAAGGUGCUCAGUAAUGUGUUGUGUUAGGAGUUUUUAAAAAUGGACUAUACAGCAGACAGAUGUGAGUCUCUGUCUGACAGAUGUGAGUUAUUGAAUAGUGCUAUUGCUUGUGGCAGGAAAGAUUUCCUGUAUCUGUCCCUUCGACAGCAGAGCUGCAACAGUCUGUUGGAGAAGAUGCUCUGCUGUCUGUCCAGAGUGAGGUGGAGAGAGUGGUCAGGGUUAUCCAUGAUGGAUAACAGUUUGGUCAGUGUCCUCCUCUCCACCACAGCCUCCACAGUGUCCUGUUUGCAGCCAAUCACGGAGCCAGCCCUCCUGAUCAGUUUGUUGAGUCUGUUGGUGUCACUGUACGCCGGACACCACAGACUGGUAGAACAUCUCCAACAUCUUGCUGCACACGUUUAAGGACCUCCACUUCCCUAAGAAGUAGAGUCUGUAUUAUUGCAUUAUCUACAUGGGCAUUGUCAGUGAGUUGUUUACAGUUAUAACACAUUAUAAUACCUGACCUUGUAAGUCAUGAUAAAAUGCUUUAUAAUUUGUAAUGAUUAUAGCUAUAAAGCAUUAUGAUCAUUUAUGAGUGUUUGUAACUAUAGUUAUACAGUGCUAUAAUGUGGUUGUAACACAUUAUACAUAUAUUUAUAAUGCAUUUUAGAGGUAGUCCUCAAAUAAAGUGUAACUGAAUGUUCUUUUGAAAACUGAUGGUACAAAUUGAUUUUUAAAAACUGGUAUUCUGCUUGUAAACAAUUUUAAAUGAACACAAUUGCCUCUGCACAGUUUUACUCACUGAUUAAUGUUUACAAAACGGACUGAGCAAUAGUUUCGAUGUUCCUGGAAACAUCUGCAGUUAGCAUGAGUAGCAGCAUUUUCCCCCGUGACUUUCUCUCUUUAUAGUGUUCUCUUACCAGCCCCCUGCAGACUCCACAAUACUGGUUUCAAGGCCACACAACUGUGAAUAUGUCUAGUGUGUUUGCAGUGCAAAAGCAUAAUAUGCCGGCAUUGCCUUAAAUUGCCGCAGGUUAUGUGUACAUAUCAAUCACUGUGAAAUGCUGCACAUACUAAGAAUCUUGUCACAUAUUUACACAAAUUGCUAUAAGAGAAGUCAGUACACAGUGUAUAGAGGGCUGUUGUAAACCUGGUCUGACACUGGAUAUGUGCUGCAACACCCUUCUUUUGUAUCAAUAUUCAAAACCGUUGCUCCCUGUAAUUUAAACCAUAAUGAUCUAUUGAUCGACGUCACACAGUCUAAAAUUUGAAAUGCAUUACUCCCUCAUUAAGUGCACAGAUUAAAUGACAAUAUGUAAACCUACACAAGUGUAAGAAUAACAACACCAACCAUUUUUCACAUGAACAGCUUGAUCUUUAUAUGCACGCUAUUUUGAAAGAAAGUAAAACAGAAAAUGCUGCAGAUAAAAUGUCAGCCAGGACGUGUGCAUGUAUGUGUGUGCAUGUGUGUAAAAUGUGUUGCAUGCAUGUGUACACAAAGCCCCUGAUGUCUACUAAAGCUUUGACAGCUGACAGGUAAAUUGUGAAAUAUUACAUGGUUCUGUCAAACAGCUUAUACCCACCUCCUUUCUCCACUCCAAGUGAACUCAAGUGUGCAUUCCUCAGUAAACAAAAAAGGUCUUAAAGAACGGCAGCACAGGGAGCGAAGAGCUGCAUCGUAUUUGCAUUUCAUAUCAAGAAAACAUGCUGUAAUUUGUGGCAGAAUGAGCUACAUAUGUCAAAAUGAUGAUAUAGUGAAAGAGUUGCUGAUUUUAGACUGCACUACAACAUCAAAUGUGCCUGCAACCACACCCUCUUGCCAGACAACAAUGUUGUCUCUGAAAACAUUUUGUUUCCUCUCAGUCAUGCUUUUAUGGAUGCAUCAUCCUUUUGAAAGGCUAGGAUUACUCCAUGGACAAGUGUGGUUCAUGGCAGUAAAACAUGUUUGAAAUAAAAACAUUUUAAAUUGUGCAACAAAAACAAGCUCGGAACGCAUUAGAUUUGUAGUGGCACAGAUUUCCCCACACUUGCAUGAGUUGUCCCAAAAAUAAAUACCCAGUGUUUUCUGUGGCUGUGUCACCCUGAAAAUGUGUCUGUGAGAGUUUAUGAGACACACAAAAAGAUUUGCCAGUUUUGCUGACUGCAUGUCUUGUACUGUCACUGGUGCAUAACGGAUCCCCCAUUUCAAAACUCCUAAUAAAUACUGUCUCUACACAUGCUUUUCAGGCACAGUCUGAGGAAAAACAAACUCGGGGACCAAGAACUGACACAGCAGGACAACCAUGCAGGUGGGGAACCUUUUUAGCCAUCAUCCAGGUAAUAAACUUAUUACACUUAUAUCCAGCUGAUUGAUUUACAUCUCUUGAUUUGUGAAUGUGUGUGUCCUUUAUACUGAAUACAGUUGUCACAAGAAUGAACUCCAGCUUAACUGAACACAGAUGUUUUUCAGUUCAUCCUGUUUGUAUUUUAUUGUGUGGAUAACUGGCCAACACUAACUAGUUUUUUUUUUUGUUUUUUUUUGUAGUUUUAAUAUUGACCAACAACCCAUCAAGCCAACCAAUUUGAGAGGAAAUGUGGAAUUGUGUUUGUUUUCAACAGUUGCUCAGUUGAGAAGUACAUCUGUCAAACAAAAUAAUACAGUAACUAAGGCAACAUAAUUGAUGCUGUUAUCCCACUCUUACUUAAAAAACCCAGAUGCCCACAUUUUAGAAGUUUCUUACUCUAAAUGAACCAAAACAAGAGCGAAGGGAUUUGGGACUGUGCCCAAUCUCAAGCUCUGCACUAACUAAUUGACAGGCUUCCAGGUGCCUUUGGGUGAGUGUGUGAGGGUUUAGUGCUGACCAACAUCAUUAACUGUGUUAGGACUCUGAUGCAGACUUUGCAAUGCUAAAUUAUGCCCUUUUUGUGAGUGUGCACAUCUGAGGCUUAUUGCAAAUAUGACAGGCAUGAUUGUUUAGCCUUUUGCUGGAAGUAAAAAAAUGUUUUUAUGUUGAAAUAGAAUAAAAUAAAGUCAAAAAACGUCAAUGUGAACAAAGCAGGCAAUGACAUGACAGGCUAACGCAUAGCUAAUCGCUUAUGGUUAUUUGAAGAGUUAUUUCAUAGUUUACACCCAAAGAUUUAUAAAGGGUUACAGUUUAGCACCCAGACUCCUCUACCACGGAGUCAUGUUGUAAUCAGCGCAGAAUGUAUUUUGUCAUUGUCCUGCUGAAAUAUGCAAAGUCUUCCCUGAACAAGUCAUUGUUUAGAUAGCAGAGUAUUUUGCUCCAAAAUCUGUAUAAACUUGUCAGCAUUAAAAGUUCCUUCCA
RNAcentral lists this long non-coding RNA (55427 nucleotides) under Xyrichtys novacula (pearly razorfish). The record is from RNAcentral. Lineage: Eukaryota; Metazoa; Chordata; Actinopteri; Labriformes; Labridae.